This 46493-nucleotide long non-coding RNA is filed under the name Triticum aestivum (bread wheat). RNAcentral describes it as "long non-coding RNA (TAES_LNC006576)". The record is from RNAcentral. Lineage: Eukaryota; Viridiplantae; Streptophyta; Magnoliopsida; Poales; Poaceae.
UUUUUUUUUAAACGUUCCACCGUAAAUAAAUCCUAGAAAAAUAAAUAAAAAACUAAAAAUGCCAAAACAAAUUUUCAUCGUCUAAAUAAAAUAUUUAGAACAAGAUGAACAUUUUCUUUGCCCUAAAAUGCAAUUUUGAAAUAUGUGCAAUUUUUCUAAUUCUAUAAAAUUACAAUAAAAAACAAAUAAAAUAAAUAAAUUGAUUUUAACAUUUUUCCUCUAAUAUUUCAUUUAUUUUGGAGAAGUCAUUUUAUCCCCUCUCAUAUAUUUUUAUUUUAGAAAUAUUAGGAAAAAAAUAAUCAAAACCAAUUGAUCCCCUUUUCAAAAUUUGAGAAAACUCAAAUAUAAAAAUAACAAAAUCCCCAACUCUCUCCGUAGGUCCUUGAGUUGCGUAGAAUUUCUAGGAUCACGCCAAAAUUCAAUAAAAUAUGAUAUGCAAUGAUGAUCUAAUGUAUAACAUUCCAAAUUGAAAAUUUGGGAUGUUAGAAACCUACCCCCCCCCCUUAAGAUGAAUCUCGCCCUCGAGAUUCGGGUUGGCUAGAAAAUAGGUGAGGGUGGUCCUUCCGUAGUUAUUCCUCUUGUUCCCAAGUGGCUUCAUCUUUGGUAUGGUGGCUCCCCUGAACUUUGCAGAACUUGAUAACCUUGCUGCGUGUGACUCGGCUGGCAACUCGAGAAUCUUCACUGGUUUCUCUUCAUAGGUCAAGUCGCUAUCCAACUGAAUUGCCUCUAGUGGCAUUGUAUCUCUCAGAGGAAUAUCGGCCAUCUCUGCGUGGCACUUCUUCAGCUAGGAAACAUCGAACACAUCGUGAACUCUUGACAAUCCUUCCGGCGAUUCCAACUUGUAAGCAACUUCUCCCAUACGUUCCAAAACUUUGUAUGGUCCCACAAAACGUGGUGCUAACUUUCCCUUAACUCCAAAAUGCUUAACUCCUCGAAGUGGGGACACACGAAGAUAAACUCUGUCUCCGACUUCGUAAACGGUCUCCUUACGUUUCGAAUCUGCAUAGCUCUUUUGCAUGGACUGGGCUACCUUGAGUCUAUCGUGAAUCAGCUUAACCUUCUCUUCAGACUCUUUGAUCAAAUCUGGUCCAAACAACUGACGGUAUCCAACUUCAUCCGACAACAACGGUGUCCUGCACCUCCUUCCGUACAAAGCUUCGAAAGGGGCCAUCUUCAAACUGGAUUGAUAACUGUUAUUGUAAGAGAACUCUGCAUAAGGCAAAUUGUCAUCCCAACUUGAUCCAUAAUCAAGCGCACAAGCUCUCAUCAUGUCCUCCAGAAUCUGAUUGACUCUCUCGGUUUGUCCAUCUGUCUGUGGAUGAAAGGCUAUACUGAACUCUAGCCUGGUACCCAAAGUUUCGUGCAACUGAUUCCAGAACUUUGAGGUAAACUGGGUUCCUCUAUCUGAUACAAUGGUCCUCGGAACUCCAUGCAGACAUACGAUCCUGGUCAUGUAUAUCUUUGCUAACUUAGCACUGGUGUAAGUGGUCUUCACUGGGAUGAAAUGAGCUACCUUCGCCAAACGAUCGACUACAACCCAUAUCGAGUCAUAGCCUGAACGAGUCCUGGGCAAUCCCGUGAUAAAAUCCAUGCCUAGCUUAUCCCACUUCCAUUCGGGUAUCAGCAAUGGCUGUAGCAAUCCAGCUGGCUUCUAAUGCUCUGCCUUCACUCUGACAUACAUCACAAACUGCUACAUACUCCGCAAUAUCCUUCUUCAUUCCGGUCCACCAGAAAUUGUCCUUCAAAUCUAGAUACAUCUUAGUGUUUCCUGGGUGAAUCGAAUACGGUGAAUCAUGGGCCUCUUGCAGAAUCAACUUCCUCAUCUCCGGGUGAUUAGGCACAUAUACGCGGUCCUCAAACCAUAAGGUAUCAUGCUCAUCCUCACAAAAUCCCUUAGCUUUUCCCUUGCUCAUUCUUUUCUUUAUCUUGGCAAUCUCCUUGUCCGCCUUCUAAGCUUCUCUGGUAUUAUCCAUCAAGGUAGACUGAAUCUCCAAUGCUGCUACAUAGCCUCUCGGAACUAUCUCCAAACAUAGCUCGCGAAGAUCCUCUGCUAACUCCUUGGGUAACUCUCCGGUCAUGAGUGUGUUGACAUGACUAUUGCGGCUCAACGCAUCGGCUACUACGUUAGCCUUCCCAGGAUGAUAGUGCAACCUCAUGUCAUAAUCCUUGAUGAGUUCCAACCAUCUCCUUUGCCUGAGGUUCAACUCCUUCUGCGUGAAGAUAUACUUCAAACUCUUGUGAUCCGUGUAUACCUCACAAUGGUUUUCGAUGAGAAAAUGUCUCCAUGUCUUCAAUUCAUGCACUACGGCUGCUAACUCCAAAUCAUGUGUAGCAUAAUUCAACUCAUGGGGCUUAAGCUGUCGUGAGGCAUAUGAAACAACUCUUCCCUCCUGCAUAAGCACUGCUCCAAGUCCUCGACGAGAAGCGUCGCAAUUUACUUCAUAAUCCUUGCGCUGAUCUGGCAGAAUCAACACUGGUGAUGUAACCAAAUGUUUCUUCAACUCCUGGAAACUGGCCUCACACUCCUCAGUCCAUUUGAAUUUGGUGUCCUUCUUUAACAACUCCGUCAUGGGCUUUGCAAUCUUCGAGAAAUUCUCAAUGAACCUCUGGUAGUAUCCUGCGAGUCCAAGAAAACUCCGGAUCUCUCCAACUGACGUGGGUGCUUCCCAAUUGGUCACAGUGACAACUUUGGUGGGGUCUACUGCUAUUCCUUCUCCGGAUAUAACAUGUCCAAGGAAUCCAACUUCCUUCAACCAAAACUCGCACUUGCUAAACUUGGCAUAUAACUGAUGUUCUCUGAGCUUUCCAAGUACCAAACGCAAAUGCUCCUUAUGCUCAUCUUCAUUCUUCGAGUAGACCAGAAUAUCAUCAAUGAACACUACGACGAACUUAUCCAAAAACUCCAUAAACACCUUGUUCAUCAUAUUCAUUAAAUAGGCAGGUGCGUUAGUAAGACCAAAUGACAUAACGGUAUACUCAUAUAGCCCGUACCUUGUGGUAAAAGCUGUCUUAGGUAUAUCCUGCUCUCGAAUCUUCAACUGGUGGUAUCCUGAUCACAGAUCGAUCUUGGAAAAUACUUUAGCUCCUUGCAGCUGCUCAAACAAAUCAUUGAUCAUCGGUGUGGGUACUUGUUUUUUAUUGCCACUUCAUUCAAUCCUCGAUAAUCAACAACCAUCCUCAACGAUCCAUCCUUCUUCUCCACGAGAAGCAUUGGUGAUCCCCAAGGUGACGAACUUGGGCGAAUAUAACCUUUAUCCAGUAACUCCUUAAUUUGCUUCUUAAUUUCCUCCAAAUCCUUUGCGGGCAUCCUGUAUGGUCUCUUAGAUAUUGGCCCUGCGCCUGGCAAAAGCUCAAUCAAAAACUCAAUGUCUCUAUCCGGUGGCAUGCCUGGCAACUCUUCUGGAAAUACAUCAGGGAAAUCCUUCACCACUGGUACUUCCUCCUGUACAACUCCUGAUAAGGAAUUCACUUGAGUCCCCUUCAGCUCAUGCCGGGAUACAUACUUGAUCCUUCUUCCUUCUGGGGUGGUGAGUAAAAUCGACUUACUGCCGCAAUCGAUGUUUCUUCCAUACAUCGAUAGCCAAUCCAUAUCCAGAAUCACAUCCAAACCUUGCGACUCCAAAAUUAUCAGGUCUGAGGGGAAAACAUGCCUCCCUAUGGUCAAUGGCAUCUGAAAACAUCCUUGACAUGCCAUAUACUCCACUCCUGGUGAGCUUACUAACAUAGGUGUUCUAAGAACUUUGGUGUGCAGUUUAUACUUAUCCACAAAUCCCCUUGAUAUGUAUGAAUGUGAUGCACCAGUAUCGAAAAGAACGAUUGCAGUAAUUGACUUAACUAAAAACUUACCUAUUACUGCAUCUGGUUGGGCUUCUACCUCCUCCAUGUUAACGUGGUUCACCUGUCCCCUAUUGAAAGGGUUGGGCUUCUUCCCAGAGCUUCCAUUGCCAUUUCCAUUCUUUGCUUGAGGACAUUCAGUGGCAUAAUGUCCAAUCUUUUAGCACUUGAAACAGGUAAUGUGGCUUAGAUCCCUCUUGGCUGGUAUUGAUGGGUUGGUACGGCUCUGGCUGUUGCUUCCUCCAUUUCUAUUGCCAUUCUUGGGGCCACUAUGGUUGUGCGAACUCCCUCCAUUGUGAUUGUGACCUCCAUGGUUAUGUUGGAGGUGUCCUCCCGAGUUUGGGGUAAAGCGAGGCCUCUGCUAAGCUCCAGAAUUGUAUUUCCCUUGUCCAUACUUCCUCUUGCGGUUGUCAAUAUGUUGCUGCUUCCCUUCAAUCAUGAGAGCUCUAUCUACAACUCCUGGUAGUUGUUGAAGGUUGCCACCAUCAACUGCAUGCUCAGCCGCAUCCGUAGCAACGUCAUCUGGGGCAUAACGUGCUAACUUACUAAAAUCAUCCACAUACCGGCCAACUGUACAUCCUCCUUGGCGCAGGUUGCGGAACUCACGCUUCUUCAUGGCCAUAGCUCCUGCUGAAACAUGGGCAGUACGGAAAGCCUGCUGAAACUGGUCCCAUGUGACAGUGUCGAUGGGGUACAUGGCUGUGAAAUUCUCCCACCAUGAUGUUGCGGGUCCAUCAAGCUGAUGUGCGGCAAAACGCACCCUCUCCGCAUCUGUGCAUCCUGCAGUGGUCAAGUCCCUUCAAAUCUUGCGGAGCCAACCAUCUGCAACUAUCGGCUCGGUGCUACUGGAGAACAUCAGUGGAUUUAGCCUUAAGAAACGGGCUAAGUGGUCAACUGGUGGUCGUGGUGGGGGUUGUUGUUGUUGUUGUUGUUGUUCCCCUGAUUCUGGUUCUGGACUAGUAUCUGCAUCAAUGCAUUCUGCUGCUGGAUCAACUGAGUGAGCUCCGGUGGGAAAACAAAUCCAUUGUCGCGUCUCGGAGGCAUCUGAGAGUUGAGAAAAGAUGAGAAUAUAGAAUGGAAUGAGGUCUAGAGAGAAAAACACUACCCGUAUGCACAUGAGACAAACACAAUCAUGUCACUUCAAUCAAUUCACACAAGGGCAUACAUCGGUCUAACUAUCAUUACAAAAAUGCUCGGGCUAUGCUAUAUACAUGGGGAAAUACUACUACUGAUAUAGUGGUCGACUAGAAAUUUUGAUCGAUCGACGACUCCAUGAUAUCUACUCCAGCUUCAUCAACAUAGUCAUCAUCAUUAUCGUCAGGGUCUGAGUCGGUGUCGUCGAUGAUGAUGUAGUUCUCCGGACAGGUAGAAUCAUCGUCUUCACCCCCAGGCGCGGGGUCUCCCAUGAAUACUCCGAUCUUUUUAAUCAGGUCGUCAUUCUUCUCCAGUAAUGUUGCAAUUUCCUCCUCAUAUCCAUCGCGGGUAGACUUGAGUUCUUCUUCCAGCUCCGCGAUCCUGGUCAUUGCCUUCUUUAAAUCUAUCAUGCAUGCGCACAUCUGGUUCUCCUAGCGACUAAUGUGCUGGUUUAACUCCUGGAUGAAAGCUGCAAUAGAUCUAUCCUUCCAGGUGUUGAUCAUCUCCCAUUGCUCGUCUCGGCACCCACAAAUCUGGUAGAUAGUAUCCUUGAGAUUCUUAUGGUACACUUCUCCAAUGGUGAUGUGGGCUGCCAUGCUCUUUCCUAGACUCCAGGUUGGUGCAUCAAAGGAAAACUCUAUGGGCUCGGUGACUGGCAUGAACAUCCUUCCUGAAACUUGAACUCGAAUCAUCCAACGCUCCUCUUCUGGUAAAGUGGCGAUGUAGGUCCCGGUGAAGUUUGGUAUUUCGAUGUUCAGGUAUCUAGUAACUUCCUUCAAGUGGCGUCCAAAAGGCGUAUCUUCAUCCGGUUGCGCGAACUUGUUCCUUGCAUCCGCCAUCCUAAAAGAAUAGAAAAAGGAGAGAGGAGUCAGAAAUGAGAAGAGAGUAGUGAUCUAUGGCUUUAGCUUAGUGGUCGUGUCCUACAGUCAGCGUGUGCUCUGAUACCAUCUUGUAACAACCAGACCUCGAACAGUCUGAUCUCUGUGCAUCAGUGUCAUCCCUGGAUCGGUAAUGCUGACACGCACAGUACUUGAAGGAUUUAUAACAGAGUAGCAAUCACACACUUAUCACAUCGAAUGUCUCAAAAGAGAACUUAUUACAAUAAAUAUGGCUUAAGGCCAUCUAAAAAAUGAUAACAGCGGAAGGCUUGGAAGAUAAAGUGAGUCCAUCAACUCCAACGGCAUCACUGAGUGAAAGAUCACGACCUAAGGCACCUUACUCGUCGUCUGAAAAGUCUGCAACAUGAACGUUGCAGCACGAAACGGAUCAGCACAUGGAAUAUGCUGGCAAUGUAACACAUAGAGAGUAAUGAACAGAAUAAUGCUAUCACUACAUGCAUAUAUGGAUGGUGGAAAGCUCUAUGGUUACAGUUUUGCAUAAAGCCAAUUUUUUCCUACAACAAAGGAAUAAAUAUCAUUUAACUAUCAUGGUGGUUAUUAAACGUUGAGAAGGUUUCUCCAACUCAAUCCCAAUUAAACAUCAUCAUUAAACCCAAUCAAAAUUAAAUUAAGUAACAUGAUGAGAUCAACAUGAUAAUCCAGGAACUAGAUACUCAAAACGUCCAUAACCGGGGACAGGGCUAACCAUUAUUAAUUUUACACUCUGCAGAGGUUUGCGCACUUUUCCCCACAAGACUCGAAUACAUCCAUGGUCGGAGAAACGAGACACGGUCUUUCUGAAACAAUAACUCUUUACUCUGGGUGGAUAGUUACACCUACUUUCCCCUACAUCUACUAGCCCACCACUGAAAGAGGUCUUGCAACGUACUCAACUAUGCUAGAGCCCAUAAUAGAUUGUGGCUGGACACGGAAGUUUCUAGCAUGAAAAAUCUUAUGAUCCCUUUUAGCCUGGGUGGCGGUCCAUAGGAGAAUCACACGGUACCCCGGGAUUUCCAAAAAUACAGGCAACACUGGGUUCCCCAGGUGCCUCAAUCCACCCAGAUGUGAAUUAAAGUAGCCAUCUUAAUUUAACCAUUAAUUAACAACACUCACAUCUGUUAUGGAUAUACUCACCCAAUCCACGUCUACAAGCAUAGCAUAGCAAUAUAAGCAAACGUAGAAGUAACUCCCAAAGGUUUGAUAACUGAACAGGACAAUAGGUACUACCUCAUUUACUUCCCAAUACCCACAUAUUAAUCAGAUACUAACCAUGCAAUUGUUUGAGGAUUGAUCUAAUGCAAUAAAACUGGGUAAUAAAGACGUAUGAUCAAAGUGUUACCUGCCUUCCUGAUGAUCCGUGAAACCUAGAGACUCGUAGUAGCACGCUUUGCACUCCUGGUACUCUAUUGCAAACAAACAAGCAUACAAUAAGCACUCAACUAAAAGCACGGGUAAAACUCAAAUAAGAGAUCUAACCAGAAAGUUUAACUUAAGAACUCCGAUUUGCAAAAAGAAUCAAAUCAAAUGAAGCAACGAAACUCAAACUGCAAAAGAAACAAACUCCGUUUACUAAUCUGGGCUUAAGUCAAAUUUUACAGUAGCAAAAACUUGUUUAAGUUGGUUAAAAAGAAAGAGGGUUUCGAGACGAAACUCUAGGCGUUUGAAUUGCCUGAUUCCGACAAACGAGCGAAGAGAAAAACUAAAACGAAAAUCAGGGCAGAAAUCGCGAUGGAAAACAAUCGCGGAAAACCCUGGAAAAAGAAAAACUAACGAAUAGGCUAACGAACGGACGUUCGCUGUCUGCGGCCAAACGGUGAAACUCGUUCGUUAAAACGAAUGAACGAGCGGACGUUUGCUAAGUAAAUAAACCGAAAAAAUGAACUGGUCCAAAAAUAAAACCUAGGGUUUUCUAAAAAAACGAAUCGGUUUUCUCUAGAAAACCGACGGCGGCGGGCGGCUACCUCGGCGGGGCUCCGGCGAGAUUCGGCGACUCCGGCGGGGUCGGGUGGGGCGGNNNNNNNNNNNNNNNNNNNNNNNNNNNNNNNNNNNNNNNNNNNNNNNNNNNNNNNNNNNNNNNNNNNNNNNNNNNNNNNNNNNNNNNNNNNNNNNNNNNNNNNNNNNNNNNNNNNNNNNNNNNNNNNNNNNNNNNNNNNNNNNNNNNNNNNNNNNNNNNNNNNNNNNNNNNNNNNNNNNNNNNNNNNNNNNNNNNNNNNNNNNNNNNNNNNNNNNNNNNNNNNNNNNNNNNNNNNNNNNNNNNNNNNNNNNNNNNNNNNNNNNNNNNNNNNNNNNNNNNNNNNNNNNNNNNNNNNNNNNNNNNNNNNNNNNNNNNNNNNNNNNNNNNNNNNNNNNNNNNNNNNNNNNNNNNNNNNNNNNNNNNNNNNNNNNNNNNNNNNNNNNNNNNNNNNNNNNNNNNNNNNNNNNNNNNNNNNNNNNNNNNNNNNNNNNNNNNNNNNNNNNNNNNNNNNNNNNNNNNNNNNNNNNNNNNNNNNNNNNNNNNNNNNNNNNNNNNNNNNNNNNNCGGCGGCGGCGAACGGCGGCACUAGGCGGCGGGGUGGUUUGGGUGGUGGUGGGGGUCGACGGCGACGGUAUUUAAGAGGGGGGGCGGGGCUGGCUUGGAGGAGGGGGCGCCGGGUCGGGGUCGGCCUUGGGAGGCGUGCCCCGACCGGACUCGGCGUCGGCGGCGGGGUGGACUCCCUCCCGCGGGGGAAGGCAGCGGCUGUGCGGGCUUGGCCCGGCUUCGCUGGGCCUUCAGCCCAGUCGGGCGCGCGGAGAUUUUUCUAAACGUUCCGCCGUAAAUAAAUCCUAGAAAAAUAAAUAAAAAUCUAAAAAUGCCACAACAAAUUUUCGUCGUCUAAAUAAAAUAUUUAGAACAAGAUGAACAUUUUCUUGGCCCUAAAAUGCAAUCUUGAAAUACGUGCAAUUUUCUAAUUCGAAUAAAAUUACAAUAAAAACCAAAUAAAAUAAAUAAAUUGAUUUUAACAUUUUUCCUCUAACAUUUCAUUUAUUUUGGAGAAGUCAUUUUGUCCCCUCUCAUAUAUUUUUAUUUUAGAAAUAUUAGGAAAAAAUAAUCAAAACCAAUUGAUCCCCUUUUCAAAAUUUGAGAAAAAUCAAAUAUGAAAAUAACAAAAUCCCAUACUCUCUCCAUAGGUCCUUGAGUUGCUUAGAAUUUCUAGGAUCACGCCAGAAUGCAAUAAAAUAUGAUAUGCAAUGAUGAUCUAAUGUAUAACAUUUCAAAUUAAAAAUUUAAGAUGUUACAAAGAGAUUCCUUCCAAGUCGCUUAAUGCGAGAUAUAGUCACCGCGUUUGUUCCUUUUGGUUGGAGUCUUUUAUUAGUAGCUGUUUGGGCUUUUAAGAGACCAUAUGGUUUCUUUAUAUGAAAUCGGGAGGCCCUCUUUCGCCAAAACAAAAAGGUAAAGAUUUGAGUUGGAGGCCAUCCGUUCACUCCAUUUUUUUCUGUAUUGCGAAGUCAUAGUACAAGUGUAAGGUGAUGACGGUCAAGCACGCAAUAUCCUCCGCGAACUUCAAGAUUGUCCCGGAGGUUGUUGGCUGAAAACAUGAAGUCCUCCUUUGGUUCACAGGUUCGAAAAAUCAUAGGAAUAGGAAAGUCACAUGACAUGUAUCUCAAAUGAUAUAACAGAAAUAGAAAAAAAGAUGCCCUUUAUGUGAAUUUUUUCCAUCGAGUCUAGGGUAUUGUUUAUAUUUACCUAUGAAAUUUGAAGGAUAGAAAUAAUUCCUCCAUAGGAACAGGAUUCUAUUUUUACAAACCAAAGGACUGUAAAGGAUUUUAUUUUUCCUAUAGAGUUCCUACAAAGCUCCUCCAAACCAGAAGGAGGCCGAACAGUUUCUCCAGAUGCUGGCUCAGACUCCAGAGGUCUCCCAGCCAGAUGACCUAUCCUUCCAAAACAUCAUACAAUUGACGCCGAGCAGGCCAUAUCUAUCUAUCAAGCCUCCCAGGCAAUGCAAAACAGGUGAUGGACUCACAACAUCGACGCCGGAUCCCCAGAUGUUCAGACUGUUCAAGACCGGAAAAUGCAUACACAGGACCUUGGAAAAUGAAACAAAGUUGCACCUGCAACCGCGGCGACAUGAAUCAUUCGACCCGGAAUCAUAAUUAAACCACCGACUGUAAAAAGACCAUAUAUAAAUUGCAGAAAAGAGAAAAGGCAUGGAUUCUAAAUCACUGCAUACCGCACUCAUUUUUACAGUCAAACCAAAAUUGAGAAAAAAGAAGAUAUGAAUUCAGUAUUCUAACAUGAACACUGACAUGAGAGAGUUACAGCCAUCAUCGCAAAGCAUCUUAACAAUACAGUACAGAAGAGGAAGACAAGACAUGGACUCCAAAUAGCUGGACACCCCACUCACUUUGACAGUCGAAACAAAAUUACACAUGAUAUAAUUGGUCUGGUACAUCCACUCCAAACAGAGGUUUCCAAAUCAUUCACGAAUCAGUGUGAAACUACUACGGUACACAGGCACCCCCCAUUCAGACCGCGUCUAAAUAGCACAUAUAUACAUGAGUUCUAUGAACACUUUCGCUCAAAACGCACCACUCAGAUUUAGACCGGGGCUUUCGUACGGGGGGGCAAGGUAAUGCACACAACAUCUGAGAAGUAUCAUGACAAUCGUUUCUCUUAUUAUGACGGUGACAAAUGACAAUGGUGACGAACCUAGAAUGUGAUGAGGCUCGCGAUCACGAGAAAGCCAACCAGGAUGAGGAGCGCCUUGAGGUACACGUCCGCCUGCUGCUGCUGCUGCCCGGGCGGCGCGUGCCGGGGGGCAGCGGCGUGGGCGUGCCCGCCAUGGAAAGCAUGCCCAUGGCCAUGGCCAUGCCCGUAGCCAUAGGGAAACCCGGCAGGCUGCCCGUACGCGGUCGCGUCCGGGAAUCCAUGCACCUGGAAGCUCAGCAGCGGGAACAGGCCGCCAAACGCGGCCGAGAAGGUGUAGUUUCCCCACCGCGCGUUGGCCAAAGGGACGCCCCCUCCCCCCAUGAACCAGGGGUUAGGGUUUGCGUUGGGGAAGUGGUUGUUGGGGUCGGCCUGCGGGGCGGUGGCGGGCCGCUGCCCGGUCGGCCGGUUGGGGAUCUCGGCCCCGGCCGGCACCCCCUUGGACCUGGGGUCGACGCGGUCCUUGCCGCGGCCGUAGAGCGGGACGAGCUUGUCCUCCUCGACGACGGCCUUGCAGACGGGGCACUCGGGCGAGUGCGAGUGGAUGUGCAGCCACUUGUAGAGGCAGGGCCAGCAGAAGAGGUGGCCGCAGAGCGUGACGAUGGGCUCCUGCGGCAGCUCAAAGCAUAUGUUGCACUCGAAGCUGCCCCCGCCGUCGCCGGCCACGCUGCUGCUGCCGCUCGUGGACUCCCCCACAUUUGCCGCCAUGCUGGCUGGGCGUCGCUCGCUCGGAACCAACCACCCACGACGAGCUGCAAAUGAUCAAAUGGUUAUGGUCAUCAGCAACUCAACAACACAUAGCAACCAACAGCUUGUAAAAUUGCAGCGUAUCUCGACAGCCAGACGUGCGGUAACAGCAAGACUAGCCAGAUGUGCAGCUAUCUUCUCAAGGAAGGAUCGAAUCCCUGAAAAAUCUAUCUACAGGUACAGGAUUAGAGUAAGAUUUCUCGUGUCAGCAAUAAGCAAGCUCAAACAAGGAAUGAAUGAGAGCGACUAGCAGGAGGAGCAACGCGAAUCUAGUAGAAGCAUUGGAAAAAACAAAAACAAAAUCAUCCCCAACCCUCCCUACGAGAUCUGAAGCUCGGCCACACACCAGCAAAGCAACGCACAAGACGGGACCGCAGCACCGACAGCGCAGCGACUCCGACGACGACAGCGGCAGCAGCAGCAGUGCUAGACUAAAUCGUGAGCAGCAGCCGCACAACGGGCGAGCCCGUGCGACGCCUGGGGCGAGAAGCUCCUCUCCCCGCAAGCCCGCACACCGAGCGAGCCCGGCGGCCGAAUCCGGCGCGGACGGGCCCCGCGCAAGCAGACGCCCGGCGAGCCGCGACGACCGAGGCCGAGGGAUCGGGCGGAUCCGAAUCGGGAGGCGCGCCGAGCCGGCCGCGAUCUGGCCGGCCCAAGCGCAGAGACGAGGGCCGCGAGGAGGCGCGGGGGGCGGAUCAGGGGGCAGGGUGGGACUGCUUACCGGCGGCCGGACGGACGGGGCGAGGAGACGGCGCGGCCGGCGCCUCCCUCCGGCGGUGCGAGGGGGAGGGGAGAGGACGAGAAGCUUCGGGGAAGAAGAUGACAAGUACUAGAGUAUGAAUAGGCGACUCUCUCUCCCUCUCUCUAUCUCGCUGGAUGCGAGUUAUUAAUUGCUUCUGACUUUGGUCAAAGCCGAGUUAAUUACUGCUAACGGCGACCCGGGACGGCCCAGUCGACAGGCAUCGGCCUGGCGGCCUACAACAACAAAAAACAAGCGACGGUGGGCUUCCUAGGCCCAGCCCGUGCGACGACGCGAACGAGCAACCGGCCACGUGAGAAAUCAUCCCUCAAAACACCCCUAAAAAAAAAGUGAGAAAUCAAAAAUUGUCUGAAAAAACGUGAGAGAUCAUCAAAACCCCACGCAAAAAAGGUGAAUAAUCAGAAUUCCUGUAGAGAAAAACCAGGCGGCAAGCAUGCGUGUGCGCUCGAAAUGUGUUCUGCGUGGAAACAGAGCUACGCUACGUGCCACGGACAGUACAGUACACAGAAGAACAGUGGCCGUCUGAUCUGCUCCUCCUAACCUAACCUCGCAUGCACACCUUUUUUUUUUAAAUAAACAUAACACUUUAUUAAUUGGAAAUAAGAGUUACAUCAUCAAUAAAAAAAGAUACAAUAUCAUCCAUAGGCGCCUCACACCAAUCCCUAGUCUCUGAAAAAUUCGCUAGUCUAGCAAGUUCAUGAGCAACCUUAUUUGCUUCCCUAUUACAAUGUUCAAACCUAGUAACAGAAAAAUCACAUGCCAUAAAAUAGCAAUCGUCGAACACUGCCGCUGCCGCACCCGCUGAUUGUCCUCCAUUUUUCAUUGUGUCAAUCACUUUCAUAUUAUCAGAGUUGACAAUAAGGCGAUUGCAACCAGCUUUCUGUGCAAGGAUUAAGCCAAACCUUAUAGUUAGUGCUUCUACCGUUAAUACAUCAACACACCAAUCAAUCCUCCAAUUUCCGCCAACAAUAAACCUUCCUUUGUCAUCUCUGAGGACAGCCCCUGCCGUACUCCUAAACAGAUCGUGAUCAAAAAAAGCAUCAACAUUUAGUUUCACAAAACCCAUAGGAGGUCUCCUCCAUCCCCUUAUUUUACUGGUUGUUUUAGUGGAGUGUGCAUUAACGUAGUUCGCCGUUAUGGCACGAGCCCCCAUCGAAGUUUGAUGUGCAUCUUGAGACUUUCCUUCAUGAACCAGUUUACGUCUAUUCCACCAUAGAUACCAAGUUGUUAUAGCAAUCAAUUCGCGUACGUUCUUGAGUCCCAAUACAAAUAAUUCUUGGUCUGGCAUAAGUAGUAACAUUUCAAGAACUGUCUCUCCCGCCCGAUCGACACUACAAGCUUUAUUGAUGACCUCAUACAAUCCUAACUUGUUCCAAACCUCUUUCGCCUUCUGACACAUAAACAAGACGUGUUUUGUGUCUUCUGGCCCAUUUGAGCAUGAUGGGCAGAUGGGUGAAAUUUUCAUGUGUCUAUUAGCGAGCGUAACACGGCACGGGAGAGUUCCAUGCAAUGUACGCCAGAUGAAAAAAUUUACCUUUGCCGGACAAGAUAGUUUCCAGAUCUUACCCCAGAUAGGAUUAGCAUUGGUUCUACCCAUACCAUUUGUAUAUUGCAAUUUCCUCCCAUGUUGUUGGUUCCAUUCCUCCGAAUAAGCUGAUCGAACAGUGAACAAGCCAUUUUUUGUAUAACUCCAAGCAAUGAAGUCCGACAUAUCAUGCAUCGGAAGGGGAAUCACGAGCACCCUUUGAGCGUCAAUUGGCCACAAAGUUUGUCUCACCAAGUCUUUAUCCCAACAAUUCAUGAUUGGGUCAAUAAGGUCAGACACCUUUGACAAAAGAUGCCUUCUUCUAGGAGUAAUAAUUUUCCUACUUGCACAAUUCGGGAUCCAUGCAUCUUCCCAAAUAUCAAUCUUUUGUCCAUUUCCAACUCGCCAGAUGUAACCAUUCCUUAGGGGAUUAACUCCUGCCAUAAUGCUUUGACAGGUAAAAGAUGAACCCUUCUUUAGAUUUGCAUUCAUUAAAUCACCAUCUGGGAAGUAUUUUGCUCUCAAGAUUGUAGCACAUAACGAUUCUCGAUUAUCAAGCAAACGCCACGCCUGUUUGGAUAGCAAAGCCAGAUUGAAACAAUGUAUAUCUCGGAAGCCCAUGCAUCCUUGGUCUUUUGGGACACACAUCUUCCACCACGCCAUCCAAUGCAUCCUCUUCUGAUUGUCCUCGUCACCCCACCAAAAUUGCGACAUCGCGUCAAUGAUUCCUUUGCAAAAAAAUUUAAGAAUUUUAAAGAUGGACAUAGCAUAAGUUGGGAUAGCUUGUACAACAGCUUUGAGGAGAACUUCCUUUCCUCCAGCAGAUAACAAUUUUUCUUUCCAUCCACUAAUUUUUGUAAUAAUGCGAUCAAUUAGGAAUUGGAAACACUCACUUUUGUCCAUACCCACAUUUGCAAGCAAUCCCAAAUAUUUGUCAUUGAGAGCUUCAGUCAUAAUAUCUCGAAUUGUGCAAAUUUGCGCCUUGUCUUCCACUUUUGUGUUGGGACUAAAGAAAAUACUCGACUUUUCAACGCUCACCUUUUGCCCCGAGGCAGCACAAUAAGAAUCCAAAAUUGAUUUCAACGCCUCCGCAUUCAUAGCACUUGCUUUCAUAAGGAUCAAAGAAUCAUCGGCGAAUAGAAGGUUUGAGAUCGAUGGGGCAUCUCUACAAACCUCAACUCCAGAGAUAUUGUUGGGGAACAUAGUAAUUUCAAAAAAAAUCCUACGCACACGCAAGAUCAUGGUGAUGGCAUAGCAACGAGAGGGGAGAGUAUUGUCCAGGUACCCUCGUAGACCGUAAGCGGAAGCGUUAUGACAACGCGGUUGAUGUAGUCGUACGUCUUCACGAUCCGACCGAUCCAAGUACCGAACGUAUGGCACCUCCGAGUUCAGCACACGUUCAGCUCGAUGACGAUCCCCGGACUUCGAUCCAGCAAAGUGUCGGGGAUGAGUUCUGUUGGCACAACGGUGUGGUGACGAUGAUGAUGUUCUACCAGCGCAGGGCUUCGCCUAAACUCCGCGACGAUAUGACCGAGGUGGAAUAUGAUGGAGGGGGGCACCGCACAUGGCUAAGGAACGAUCCGUAGAUCAACUUGUGUGUUCUAGGGUGCCCCCAUGCCCCCGUAUAUAAAGGAGCCAAGGGGGAGGGGGCGGCCGGCCAAGGAGGGCGCGCCAAGGGGGAGUCCUACUCCCACCGGGAGUAGGACUCCCUUCUUUCCUAGUUGGAGUAGGAGAAGGGGGAAGGAGGAGGAAGAGGGGAAGGAAAGGGGGGGCGCCGCCCCCCUCUCCUUGUCCUAUUCGGACUAGAGAGGGGAGGGGGCGCAGCCCACCUCUUGCCUCCUCUCCUCUUCUCCCUUAGGGCCCAUGAAGGCCCAAUAACCCCCGGGAGGGUUCCGGUAACCCCCCGGUACUCCGGUAAAAUGCCGAUUUCACCCGGAACACUUCCGAUGUCCAAACAUAGGCUUCCAAUAUAUCAAUCUUUAUGUCUUGACCAUUUCGAGACUCCUCGUCAUGUCCGUAAUCACAUAAGGGACUCCGAACAAACUUCGGUACAUCAAAACUUAUAAACUCAUAAUAAAACUGUCAUCGUAACGUUAAGCGUGCGGACCAUACGGGUUCGAGAACUAUGUAGACAUGACCUAGAACUAUUCUUGGUCAAUAACCAAUAGCGGGACCUGGAUGCCCAUAUUGGCUCCUACAUAUUCUACGAAGAUCUUUAUCGGUCAAACCGCAUAACAACAUACGUUGUUCCCUUUGUCAUCGGUAUGUUACUUGCCCGAGACUCGAUCGUCGGUAUCCAAUACCUAGUUUAAUCUCGUUACCGGCAAGUCUCUUUACUCGUUACGUAAUGCAUCAUUUCGUAACUAACUCAUUAGCUACAUUGCUUGCAAGGCUUAUAGUGAUGUGCAUUACCGAGAGGGCCCAGAGAUACCUCUCCGACAAUCAGAGUGACAAAACCUAAUCUCGAAAUACGCCAACCCAACAUGUACCUUUGGAGACACCUGUAGUACUCCUUUAUAAUCACCCAAUUACGUUGUGACGUUUGGUAGCACCCAAAGUGUUCCUCCGGUAAACGGGAGUUGCAUAAUCUCAUAGUUACAGGAACAUGUAUAAGUCAUGAAGAAAGCAAUAGCAAUGUACUAAACGAUCAAGUGCUAAGCUAACGGAAUGGGUCAAGUCAAUCACAUCAUUCUUCUAAUGACGUGAUCCCAUUAAUCAAAUGACAACACAUCUCUAUGGUUAGGAAACAUAACCAUCUUUGAUUAAUGAGCUAGUCAAGUAGAGGCAUACUAGUGACACUAUGUUUGUCUGUAUUCACACAUGUAUUAUGUUUCCGGUUGAAUAAUAAACAUUUAUCAUGAAAUAAGGAAAUAAAUAAUAACUUUAUUAUUGCCUCUAGGGCAUAUUUCCUUCAGUCUCCCACUUGCACUAGAGUCAAUAAUCUAGUUCACAUCGCCAUGUGAUUUAACAUCAAUAUUCAUAUCUGUAUAUGAUUAACACCCAUAGUUCACGUCGUCAUGUGACCAACACCCAAAGGGUUUACUAGAGUCAAUAAUCUAGUUCACAUCGCUUAUGUGAUUAACACCCAAAGAGUACUAAGGUGUGAUCAUGUUUUUCUCGUGAGAGAAGCUUAGUCAACAGGUCUGUCACAUUCCAUAUGUAUUUUGCAAAUAUUCUAUGUCUACAAUGCUCUGCACGGAGCUACUCUAGCUAAUUGCUCCCACUUUCAAUAUGUAUCCAGAUUGAGACUUAGAGUCAUCUGGAUCGGUGUAAAAGCUUGCACCGAUGUAACUCUUUACUACGGGCUCUUUUUUCACCUCCAUAAUCGAGAAAUAUUUCCUUAGUCCUCACUAAGGAUAUUCUUGACCAAUGUCCAGUGAUCUACUCUUAGAUCACUAUUGUACUCCCUUGUCAAAUACAGAGCAAGGUAUACACUAGGUCUGGCACAUAGCAUAGCAUACUUUAUAGAACCUAUGACUGAGGCAUAGGGAAUGACUUUUCAUUUUCUUUCUAUUUUCUGCCAUGGUCUGGUUUUGAGUCUUACUCAACAUCACACCUUUGUAUCACACGCAAGAACUCUUUCUUUGACUGUUCCAUUUUGAACUACUUCAAAAUCUUGUCAAGGUAUGUACUCAUUGAAAAAUCUUAUCAAGCGUUUCGAUCUAUCAAUAUAGAUCUUGAUGCUUAAUGUGUAAGCAGCUUCACCGAGGUCUUUCUUUGAAAAACUCUUAUUCAAGUUGCUAUCCAGAAUUUCUAUAUCAUUUCCAAUCAACAAUAUGUCAUCCACAUAUAAUAUUAGAAAUGCUACAGAGCUCCCACUCACUUUCUUGUAAAUACAGGCCUUUCCAAAAGUCUUUAUAAAACCAUAUGCUUUGAUUAACUCAUCAAAGUGUAUAUUCCAACUCCGAGAUGCUUGCACCAGUCCAUUGAUGGAUCGCUGGAGCUUGCAUAUUUUGUUAACACCUUUCGGAUCGACAAAACCUUCUGGUUGUAUCAUAUACAACUCUCCUUUAAGAAAACCAUUAAGGAAUGCAGUUUUGACAUCCAUUUGCCAGAUUUCAUAAAAUGUGGCAAUUGCUAACAUGAUUCAGACAGACUUAAGCAUCGAUACGAGUGAGAAAAUCUAAUCGUAUUCAACAUUUUGAACUUGUCGAAAACCUUUCACAACAAGUCGAGCUUAGUAGAUAGUAACACUACUAUCAGUGUCCGUCUUCCUCUUGAAGAUCCAUUUAUUUACAUGGCUUGCUGAUCAUCGAGCAAGUCAAUCAAAGUCGAUACUUUGUUCUCAUACAUGGAUCAUAUCUCAGAUUUUAUGGCCUCAAGCCAUUUCACGGAAUCUGGGCUCAUCAUUGCUUCCUCAUAGUUUGUAGGUUCAUCAUGGUCUAGUAACAUGACUUCCAGAACAUGAUUACCGUACCACUCUGGUGCGGACCAUACUCUGGAAGACCUACGAGGUUCUGUAGUAACAUGAUCUGAAGUUUCAUGAUCAUCAUCAUUAGCUUCCUCACUAAUUGGUGUAGGAAUCACUGGAACUGAUUUCAGUGAUGAACUAUUUUCCAAUUCGGGAGAAGGUACAGUUACCUCAUCAAGUUCUACUUUCCUCCCACUCACUUCUUUCGAGAGAAACUCCUUCUCUAGAAAGGAUCCAUUUUUAGCAACGAAUAUCUUGCCUUCGGAUCUGUGAUAGAAGGUGUAUCCAACAGUUUCCUUUGGGUAUUCUAUGAAGACGCACUUCUCUGAUUUGGGUUCGAGCUUAUCAGGUUGAAAAACUGUUUCAUAUAAGCAUCGCAACUCCAAACUUUAAGAAACGACAACUUUGGUUUCUUGCCAAACCAUAGUUCAUAUGUUGUCGUCUCAACGGAUUUAGAUGGUGCCCUUUUAACGUGAAUGCAGCUGUCUCUAAUGCAUAACCCCAAAACAAUAGUGGUAAAUCAGUAAGAGACAUCAUAGAUCGCACCAUAUCCAAUAAAGUGCGGUUACGACGUUCGGACACACCAUAACGUUGUGGUGUUCCAGGUAGCGUGAGCUGUGAAACUAUUCCACAUUGUUUUAAUUGAAGACCAAACUCGUAACUCAAAUAUUUGUCUCCGCGAUCAGAUCGCGGAAACUUUAUUUUCUUGUUACGAUGAUUUUUCCACUUCACUUGAAAUUCUUUGAACCUUUCAACUAUUUCAGACUUAUGUUUCAUCAAGUAGAUAUACCCAUAUCUGCUCAAAUCAUCUUGUGAAGGUCAGAAAAUAACUAUACUUGCCACGAGCAUCAACACUCAUUGGAUUGCAUACAUCGGUAUGUAUUAUUUCCAAUAAGUCAGUAGCUUGUUCCAUUGUUCCAGAGAACGGAGUUUUAGUCAUCUUGCCCAAAAGGCACGGUUCGCAAGCAUCAAAUGAUUCAUAACCAAGUGAUUCCGAAAAUCCAUCUUUAUGGAGUUUCUUCAUGCGCUUUACACUGAUAUGACCCAAACGGCAGUGCCACAAAUAAGUUGCACUAUCAUUAUUAACUUUGCAUCUUUUGGCAUCAAUAUUAUGAAUAUGUGUAUCACUACGAUCAAGAUCCAACAAACUAUUUUCAUUGGGUGUAUAACCAUCGAAGGUCUUAUUCAUGUAAACAGAAUAACAAUUAUUCUUUAACUUCAAAUGAAUAAUUGUAUCGCAAUAAACAUGAUCAAAUCAUAUUCAUGCUCAACGCAAACGCUAAAUAACAUUUAUUUAGGUUUAACACUAAUCCCGAAAGUAUAGGGAGUGUGUGAUGAUGAUCAUAUCAAUCUUGGAACUAUUUCCAACACUCAUCGUCACUUCCCCUCAACUAGUCUCUGUUUAUUCUGUAACUCCUGUUUCGAGUUACUAAUUGUUGGAAAUAUGCCCUAGAGGCAAUAAUAAAUAAGUUAUUAUUAUAUUUCCUUGUUCAUGAUAAUCGUUUAUUAUCCAUGCUAUAAUUGUAUUGAUAGGAAACUCAGAUACAUGUGUGGAUACAUAGACAACACCAUGUCCCUAGUAAGCCUCUAAUUGACUAGCUCGUUGAUCAAUAGAUGGUUACGGUUUCCUGACCAUGGACAUUGGAUGUCGUUGAUAACGGGAUCACAUCAUUAGGAGAAUGAUGUGAUGGACAAGACCCAAUCCUAAGCCUAGCACAAAGAUCGUAGUUCGUAUGCUAAAGCUUUUCUAAUGUCAAGUAUCAUUUCCUUAGACCAUGAGAUUGUGCAACUCCCGGAUACUGUAGGAAUGCUUUGGGUGUACCAAACGUCACAACGUAACUGGGUGGCUAUAAAGGUGCACUACAGGUAUCUCCGAAAGUGUCUGUUGGGUUGGCACGAAUCGAGACUGGGAUUUGUCACUCCGUGUAAACGGAGAGGUAUCUCUGGGCCCACUCGGUAGGACAUCAUCAUAAUGUGCACAAUGUGACCAAGGGGUUGAUCACGGGAUGAUGUGUUACGAAACGAGUAAAGAGACUUGCCGGUAACGAGAUUGAACAAGGUAUCGGUAUACCGACGAUCGAAUCUCGGGCAAGUACAAAUACCGCUCGACAAAGGGAAUUGUAUACGGGAUUGAUUGAGUCCUUGACAUCGUGGUUCAUCCGAUGAGAUCAUCGUGGAACAUGUGGGAGCCAACAUGGGUAUCCAGAUCCCGCUGUUGGUUAUUGACCGGAGAACGUCUCGGUCAUGUAUGCAUGGUUCCCGAACCCGUAGGGUCUACACACUUAAGGUUCGAUGACGCUAGGGUUAUAAAGGAAGUUUGUAUGUGGUUACCGAAUGUUGUUCGGAGUCCCGGAUGAGAUCUCAGACGUCACGAGGAGUUCCAAAAUGGUCCGGAGGUAAAGAUUUAUAUAUGGGAAGUCCUAUUUUGGCCACCGGAAAAUGUUCGGGAUUUUUCGGUAUUGUACCGGGAAGGUUCUAGAAGGUUCCAGAGUGGGGCCCACCUGCAUGGGGGACCCACAUGAACGUGGGUAGUGGGGGCAAGGCCCCACACCCCUGGUCAAGGCGCACCAAGAUCCCCCCUUAGAAGGAAUAAGAUCAUAUCCCGAAGGGAUAAGAUCAAGAUCCCUAAAAAGGGGGAAUAACAAUCGGUGUGGAAGGAAAUGAUGGGAUUUCUUUCCUCCCACCUUUGCCAACGCCCCAAUGGACUUGGAGGGCAAGAAACCAGCCCCUCCACCCCUAUAUAUAGUGGGGAGGCGCAUGGGAGCUUCACACAAGUUCUGGCGCAGCCCUCCCCCUCUCCCAAGUACUCCUCCUCUCCCGCGGUGCUUGGCGAAGCCCUGCAGGAUUGCCACGCUCCUCCACCACCACCACGCCGUCGUGCUGCUGCUGGAUGGAGUCUUCCUCAACCUCUCCCUCUCUCCUUGCUGGAUCAAGGCAUGGGAGACGUCACCGGGCUGUACGUGUGUUGAACGCGGAGGUGCCGUCCGUUCGGCACUAGGAUCUCCGGUGAUUUGGAUCACGACGAGUACGACUCCUUCAACCCCGUUCUCUUGAACGCUUUCGCUUAGCGAUCUACAAGGGUAUGUAGAUGCACUCUCCUUCCCCUCGUUGUUGGUUUCUCCAUAGAUAGAUCUUGGUGACACGUAGGAAAAUUUUGAAUUUCUGCUACGUUCCCCAACAGUGGCAUCAUGAGCUAGGUCUAUUGCGUAGAUUCUUUGCACGAGUAGAACACAAAGUAGUUGUGGGCGUUGAUUUUGUUCAAUAUGCUUACCAUUACUAGUGCAAUCUUGUUUCGACGGUAUUGUGGGAUGAAGCGGCCCGGACCGACCUUACACGUACACUUAUGUGAGACAGGUUCCACCGACUGACAUGCACUUGGUGCAUAAGGUGGCUAGCGGGUGCCAGUCUCUCCCACUUUAGUCGAAACGGAUUCGAUGAAAAGGGUCCUUAUGAAGGGUAAAUAGCAAUUGUCAUAUCAUGUUGUGGUUUUGCGUAGGUAAGAAACGUUCUUGCUAGAAACCCAUAGCAGCCACAUAAAACAUGCAAACAACAAUUAGAGGACGUCUAACUUGUUUUUGCAGGGUAUGCUAUGUGAUGCGAUAUGGCCAAGAAGAAUGUGAUGAAUGAUAUGUGAUGUAUGAGAUUGAUCAUGUUCUUGUAAUAGGAAUCACGACUUGCAUGUCGAUGAGUAUGACAACAGGCAGGAGCCAUAGGAGUUGUCUUUAUUUAUUGUAUGACCUGCGUGUCAUUGAACAACGCCAUGUAAUUACUUUACUUUAUUGCUAACCGGUAGCCAUAGUAGUAGAAGUAAUAGUUGGCGAGACAACUUCAUGAAGACACGAUGAUGGAGAUCAUGAUGAUGGAGAUCAUGGUGUCAUGCCGGUGACGAUGAUGAUCAUGGAGCCCCGAAGAUGGAGAUCAAAAGGAGCAAAAUGAUAUUGGCCAUAUCAUGUCACUAUUUGAUUGCAUGUGAUGUUUAUCAUGUUUAUACAUCUUAUUUGCUUAGAACGACGGUAGUAAAUAAGAUGAUCCCUCAUUAAAAUUUCAAGAAAGUGUUCCCCCUAACUGUGCACCAUUGCGAAAGUUCGUCAUUUCUAAGCACCACGUGAUGAUCGGGUGUGAUGGAUUCUUACGUUCACAUACAACGGGUGUAAGACAGAUUUACACACGCGAAACACUUAGGUUGACUUGACGAGCCUAGCAUGUACAGACAUGGCCUCGGAACACAAGAGACCGAAAGGUCGAGCAUGAGUCGUAUAGUAGAUACGAUCAGCAUGAAGAUGUUCACCGAUGAUGACUAGUCCGUCUCACGUGAUGACCGGACACGGCCUAGUUGACUCGGAUCAUGUAAUCACUUAGAUGACUAGAGGGAUGUCUAUCUGAGUGGGAGUUCAUAAGAUGAACUUAAUUACCCUGAACAUAGUCAAAUGAUCUUUGCAAAUUAUGUCGUGAGCUCGCGCUUUAGUUCCACUAUUUAGAUAUGUUCCUCGAGAAAAUAUAGUUGAAAGUUAACAUUAGCGAUUAUGCGGACAGUAGAAAGCUUAUGUCCUUAAUGCACCGCUCAGUGUGCUGAACCCCAAACAUCAUUUGUGGAUGUUGCGAACAUGGGACAUACACGUUUUGAUAACUACGUGAUAGUUCAGUUAAAUGGUUUAGAGUAGAGGCACCAAAGACGUUUUCGAUACAUCGCGGAACAUAUGAGAUGUUUCGAGGGCUGAAAUUGGGAUUUCAGGCUCGUGCCCACGUCAAGAGGUAUGAGACCUCCGACGAUUUUCUUAGCCUGCAAACUAAGGGAGAAAAACUCAAUCGUUGAGCUUGUGCUCAGAUUGUCUGAGUGCAACAAUCACUUGAAUCGAGUGGGAGUUGAUCUUCCAGAGAUAGUGAUGUUUCUCCAAAGUCAUUGCCACCAAGCUGCUAGAGCUUCGUGAUGAACUAUAACAUAUCAGGGAUAGAUAUGAUGAUCCUUGAGGUAUUCGCGAUGUUUGACACCGCGAAAGUAGAAAUCAAGAAGGAGCAUCAAUUGUUGAUGGUUGGUGAAACCACUAGUUUCAAAAAGGGCAAGGGCAAGAAGGGAUACUUCAUGAAACAGCAAAUCAGCUGCUGCUCUAAUGAAGAAACCCAAGGUUCAACCCAAACCCGAGACUAAGUGCUUCUGUAAUAAGGGGAACAGCCACUGGAGCAGAAUUACCCUAGAUACUUGGUAGAUGAGAAGGCUGGCAAGGUCGAUAGAAGUAUAUUGGAUAUACAUUAUGUUAAUGUGUACUUUACUAGUACUCCUAGUAGCACCAGGGUAUUAAGAUACCGGUACGGUUGCUAAAUGCUAGUAACUCGAAAUAAAAGAGCUACGGAAUAAACUGAGACUAGCUAAAGGUGAGCUGACAAUAUGUGCUGGAAGUGUUUCCAAGUUUGAUGUGAUCAAACAUCGCACGCUCCCUCUACCAUCAAGAUUAGUAUUAAACCUGAAUAAUUGUCAUUUGGUGUUUGCGUUGAACAUAGACAUAAUUGGAUUAUGUCUAUCGCAAUACGAUUAUUCAUUUAAGGAGAAUAAUGGUUACUCUAUUUAUUUGAAUAAUACCUUCAAUGGUCUUGCACCUAAAGGAAUGGUUUAUUGAAUCUCGAUCGUAGUGAUACACAUUUUCAUGCCAAAAGAUAUAAGAUAGUAAUGGUAGUACCACUUACUUGUGACACUGCCAUGUAAGUCAUAUUGGUAUAAAACGCAUGAAGAAGCUCCAUGUUGAUGGAUCUUUGAACUCACUCAUUUUUGAAAAGGUUGAGACAUGCGAACCAUGUCUAUUGGUGCAUACGCAUGAAGAAACUCCAUGCAGAUGGAUCGUUUAGACUCACUUGAUUUUGAAUCACUUGAGAUAUGCAAAUCAUACCACAUGGGCAAGAUGACUGAAAAGCCUCGUUUUCAGUAAGAUGGAACAAGAUAGCAACUUGUUGGAAGUAACACAUUUUGAUGUGUGCAGUCCAAUGAGUGCUGAGGCAUGCAGUGAAUAUCGUUAUGUUCUUACUUCACAGAUGAUUCGAGUAGAUGUUGAGUAUAUUUACUUGAUGAAACACAAGUCUGAAUUAUUGAAUGGUUCAAGUAAUUUCAGAGUGAAGUUUAAGAUCUUCGUGACAAGAGGAUAAAAUGUCUAUGAUAUGAUCAUAGAGAUGAAUAUCUGAGUUACGAGUUUUGGCACACAAUUAAGACAUUGUGGAGAUUGUUUCACAACCAAUACCGCCUGGAACACCAUAGUGUGAUGGUGUGUCCGAACAUCAUAACUGCACCCUAUUGGAUAUGGUGCAUACCAUGAUGUCUAUUAUCAAAUUACCGCUAUCGUUUAUGGGUUAGGCAUUAGAGACAACCACAUUCACUUUAAAUAGGGCACCACGUAAUUCCGUUGAGAUGACACCAUAUGAACUAUGGUUUAGAGAAACCUAAGCUGUCAUUUCUUAAAGGUUUGGGGCUGCGACGCUUAUGUGAAAAAGUUUCAGGUUGAUAAACUCGAACCCAAAGCGGAUAAAAUGCAUCUUCAUAGGACACCCAAAACAGUUGGGUAUACCUCCUAAUUCAGAUCCGAAAGCAAUAGGGAUUGUUUCUUGAAUCGGGUCCUUUCUCGAGGAAAAGUUUGUCUCAAAAAGUUGAGUGGGAGGAUGGUGGAGACUUGAUAUGGUUACUGAACCGUCACUACAACUAGUGUGUAGCAGGGCACAGGAAGUUGUUCAUGUGGCACCUACACCAAUUGAAGUAGAAGCUUAUGAUAUUGAUCAUGAAACUUCGGAUCAAGUCACUACCAUGCCUCGUAGGGUGACAAGGAUGCAUACUACUUCAGAGUGGUACAGUAAUCCUGUCUUGAAGGUCAUGUUGCUAGACAACAAUGAACCUACGAGCUAUGGAGAAGCGAUGGUGGCCCUUAUUCCGACAAAUGGUUUGAAGCCAUGAAAUCUGAGAUAGGAUCCAUGUAUCAGAACAAAGCAUGGACUUUGGUGGACUUGCCCGAUGAUCGGCAAGCCAUUGAGAUAAAUGGAUCUUUAAGAAGAAGACGGACGUGGACGGUAAUGUCACCGUCUAUGAAGCUCGACUUAUGGUGAAGAGUUCUUCACAAGUUCAAGGAGUUGACUACGAUGAGAUUUUCUCAUCCGUAGCGAUGCUUAAGUCCGUCGGAAUCAUGUUAGCACAAGCUGCGUUUAUGAAAUCUGGCAGAUGGAUGUCAAAACGAGUUUCCUUACCAGUUUUCGUAAGGAAAGGUUGUAUGCGAUACAAUCAGAAAGUUUUUGUCGAUCCUAAGGAUGCUAAAAGGUAUGCUAGCUCCAGUGAUCCUUCCAUGGACUGGAGUAAGCAUCUCGGAGUUGGAAUGUGCGCUUUGAUGAGAUGAUCAAAGAUUUUGGGUUUAUACAAAGUUUAUGAGAAACUUGUAUUUCCAAAGAAGUGAGUGGGAGCACUAUAGAAUUUCUGAUGAGUAUAUGUUGUUGACAUAUUGAUGAUCAGAAAUGAUGUAGAAUUUCUAGAAAGCAUAUAGGGUUGUUUAAAAAGUGUUUUUCAAGGGAAAACCUGGAUUAAGCUACUUGAACAUUGAGCAUCAAGAUCUAUGAGGAUGGAUCAAAACGCUUAAUGGUACUUUCAAAAUGAGCACAUACCUUGACAUGAUCUUGAAGGUGUUCAAGAUGGAUCAGUCAAAGAAGGAGUUCUUGGCUGAGUUGUAAGGUAUGAAGUUAAGACUUAAAGAUCGACCACGGUAGAAAAGAGAGAAAGGACGAAGGUCAUCCCCUAUGCUUUAGACGUAGGCUCUAUAGUAUGCUAUGCUGAGUACCGCACCUGAUGUGUGCCUUGCCACAUGUCUGGCAAGAGGGUACAAAGGUGAUCAAGGAGUGGAUCACUACAUAGCGGUCAAAGUUAUCCUUAGAGGAAUAAGGAUAUGUUUCUCGAUUAUGGAGGUGUUAAAGAGUUCAGCGUAAAGGGUUACGUCGAUGCAAGCUUUAACACCUAUCUGAAUGACUCUGAGUAGCAAACUGGAUACGUAUAGUGGAACAACCAUUUGGAAUAGCUCCAAGUGGAGCGUAGAAGCAGCAUUUACAAUAUGACAUAGAGAAUUGCGAAGUACAUACGGAUCUGAAUGUUGCAGACCCGUUGACUAAAACCUCUCUCACAAGCAAAACAUGAUCAAACCCCAGAACUCAUUGAGUCUUAAUCACAUGAUGAUGUGAACUAGUUUAAUGACACUAGUAAACUCUUUGGAUGUUGGUCACAUGGCGAUGUGACCUGUGAGUGUUAAUCACAUGGCGAUGUGAACUAGAUUAUUGACUCUAGUGCAAGUGGGAGACUGUUGGAAAUAUGCCCUAGAGGCAAUAAUAAAUAAGUUAUUAUUAUAUUUCCUUGUUCAUGAUAAUCAUUUAUUAUCCAUGCUAUAAUUGUAUUGAUAGGAAACUCAGAUACAUGUGUGGAUACAUAGACAACACCAUGUCCCUAGUAAGCCUCUAAUUGACUAGCUUGUUGAUCAAUAGAUGGUUAUGGUUUCCUGACCAUGGACAUUGGAUGACGUUGAUAACGGGAUCACAUCAUUAGGAGAAUGAUGUGAUGGACAAGACCCAAUCCUAAGCCUAGCACAAAGAUCGUAGUUCGUAUGCUAAAGCUUUUCUAAUGUCAAGUAUCAUUUCCUUAGACCAUGAGAUUGUGCAACUCCCAGAUACCGUAGGAAUGCUUUGGGUGUACCAAACGUCACAACGUAACUGGGUGGCUACAAAGGUGCACUACAGGUAUCUCCGAAAGUGUCUGUUGGGUUGGCACGAAUCGAGACUGGGGUUUGUCACUCCAUGUAAACGGAGAGGUAUCUCUGGGCCCACUCGGUAGGACAUCAUCAUAAUGUGCACAAUGUGACCAAGGGGUUUAUCACGGGAUGAUGUGUUACGGAACGAGUAAAGAGACUUGCCAGUAACGAGAUUGAACAAGGUAUCGGUAUACCGACGAUCGAAUCUCGGGCAAGUAUAAAUAUCGCUGGACAAAGGGAAUUGUAUACGGGAUUGAUUGAGUCCUUGACAUCGUGGUUCAUCCGAUGAGAUCAUCGUGGAACAUGUGGGAGCCAACAUGGGUAUCCAGAUCCCGCUGUUGGUUAUUGACCGGAGAACGUCUCGGUCAUGUCUGCAUGGUUCCCGAACCCGUAGGGUCUACACACUUAAGGUUCGAUGACGCUAGGGUUAUAAAGGAAGUUUGUAUGUGGUUACCGAAUUUUGUUCGGAGUCCCGGAUGAGAUCCCGGACAUCACGAGGAGUUCCGGAAUGGUCCGGAGGUAAAGAUUUAUAUAUGGAAAGUCCUAUUUUGGCCACCGGAAAAUGUUCGAGAUUUUUCGGUAUUGUACCGGGAAGGUUCUAGAAGGUUCCAGAGUGGGGCCCACCUGCAUGGGGGACCCACAUGAACGUGGGUAGUGGGGGCAAGGCCCCACACCCCUGGUCAAGGCGCACCAAGAUCCCCCCUUAGAAGGAAUAAGAUCAUAUCCCGAAGGGAUAAGAUCAAGAUCCCUAAAAAGGGGGGAUAACAAUCGGUGUGGAAGGAAAUGAUGGGAUUUCUUUCCUCCCACCUUCGCCAACGCCCCAAUGGACUUGGAGGGCAAGAAACCAGCCCCUCCACCCCUAUAUAUAGUGGGGAGGCGCAUGGGAGCUUCACACAAGUUCUGGCGCAGCCCUCCCCCUCUCCCAAGUACUCCUCCUCUCCCGCGGUGCUUGGCGAAGCCCUGCAGGAUUGCCACGCUCCUCCACCACCACCACGCCGUCGUGCUGCUGCUGGAUGGAGUCUUCCUCAACCUCUCCCUCUCUCCUUGCUGGAUCAAGGCAUGGGAGACGUCACCGGGCUGUACGUGUGUUGAACGCGGAGGUGCCGUCCGUUCGGCACUAGGAUCUCCGGUGAUUUGGAUCACGACGAGUACGACUCCUUCAACCCCGUUCUCUUGAACGCUUCCGCUUAGCGAUCUACAAGGGUAUGUAGAUGCACUCUCCUAACCCUCGUUGUUGGUUUCUUCAUAGAUAGAUCUUGAUGACACGUAGGAAAAUUUUGAAUUUCUGCUACGUUCCCCAACACUAAUCUUAGUAACCCAACAAGUAUCAAAUACUCAGGGGCUACUAUAAACACUAGUAAGGCACAUCAAUAACCUGUAUAUCAAAUAUACCCUUGUUCACUUUGCCAUCCUUCUUAUCCACCAUAUAUUCAGGGCGUUUCUGCUUCCAGUGACCAUUUCCUUUGCAGUGUAAGCACUCAGUUUCAGGCUUUGGUCCAGCUUUGGUCUUCUUCGCGGGAGUGACAACUUGUUUGCCAUUCUACUUGAAGUUCCCCUUUCUUUUCCUUUGCCCUUUUCUUGAAACUAGUGGUCUUGGCAAUCAUCAACACUUGAUGCUCUUUCUUGAUUUCUACCUUCGUCGUUUUCAGCAUCACGAAGAGCUCGGGAAUCGUUUUUGUCAUCCCUUGCAUUAUAGUUCAUCACGAAGUUCUACUAACUUGGUGGUGGUGACUAGAGAAUUAUGUCAAUCACUAUCUUAUCUGGAAGAUUAACUCCCACUUGAUUCAAGCGAUUGUAGUACUCAAACAAUUUGAGCACAUGCUCACUAGUUGAGCGAUUCUCCUCCAUCUUUUAGCUAUAGAACUUGUUGGAGACUUCAUAUCUCUCAACUCGGGUAUUUGCUUGAAAUAUUAACUUCAAUUCCUGGAACAUCUCAUAUGGUCCAUGACGUUCAAAACGUCUUUGAAGUCCCGAUUCUAAGCCGUUAAGCAUGAUGCACUAAACUAUCAAGUAGUCAUCAUAUUGAGCUAGCCAAACGUUCAUAACGUCUGCAUCUGCUCCUGCAAUAGGUUUGUCACCUAGCGGUGCAUCAAGGACAUAAUUCUUCUGCGCAGCAAUGAGGAUAAACCUCAGAUCACGGAUCCAAUCCGCAUCAUUGCUACUAACAUCUUUCAACACAAUUUUCUCUAGGAACAUAUUAAAAUAAACAUAUGAAAGCAACAACACAAGCUAUUGAUCUACAACAUAAUUUGCAAAAUACUACCAGGACUAAGUUCAUGAUAAAUUUAAGUUCAAUUAAUCAUAUUACUUAAGAACUCCCACUUAGACAGACAUCUCUCUAGUCAUCUAAGUGAUUACGUGAUCCAAAUCAACUAAACCAUGUCCGAUCAUCACGUGAGAUGGAGUAGUUUCAAUGGUGAACAUCACUAUGUUGAUCAUAUCUACUAUAUGAUUCAUGUUCGACCUUUCGGUCUCCGUGUUCCGAGGCCAUAUCUGUAUAUGCUAGGCUCAUCAAGUUUAACCUGAGUAUUCCGCGUGUCCAACUGUUUUGCACCCGUUGUAUUUGAACGUAGAGCAUAUCACACCCGAUCAUCACGUGGUGUCGCAGCACGAAGAACUUUCACAACGGUGCAUACUCAGGGAGAACACUUCUUGAUAAUUAGUGAGAGAUCAUCUUAUAAUGCUACCAUCAAACAAAACAGAAUAAGAUGUAUAACAGAUAAACAUCAUAUGCAAUCAAAAUAUGUGACAUGAUAUGGCCAUGAUCAUCUUGCGCCUUUGAUCUCCAUCUCCAAAGUACUGUCAUGAUCUCUAUCGUUACCGGCACGACACCAUGAUCUUCAUCAUCUUGAUCUAUAUCAAUGUGUCGUCACAUGGUCAUUUCGCCAACUGUUGCUAUUGCAUAGCGAUAAAGUAAAGCAAUUAUUUGGCACUUGCAUCUUUAUGCAACAAAGAGACAACCAUAGGGCUUCUGCCAGUUGCCGAUAACUUCAACAAAACAUGAUCAUCUCAUACAAUAAAAUAUAGCAUCACGUCUUGACCACAUCACAUCACAACAUGCCCUACAAAAACAAGUUAGACGUCCUCUACUUUGUUGUUGUAAAUUUUACGUGGCUGCUACGGGCUUAGCAAGAACCGUUCUUACCUACGCAUUAAAACCACAACGAUAGUUCGUCAAGUUAGUGAUGUUUUAACCUUCGCAAGGACCGGGCAUAGCCACACUCGGUUCAACUAAAGUUGGAGAAACAGACACCCGCUAGUCACCUGUGUGCAAAGCACGGCGGUAAAACCAAUCUCGCGUAAGCGUACGCGUAAUGUCGGUCCGGGCCGCUUCAUCCAACAAUUCCGCUGAACCAAAGUAUGACAUGCUGGUAAGCAGUAUGACUUGUAUCACCCACAACUCACUUAUGUUCUACUCGUGCAUAUGACAUCUACGCAUAAAACCUAGCUCUGAUACCACUGUUGGGGAACGUAGUAAUUUCAAAAAAAUUCCUACGCACACGCAAGAUCAUGGUGAUGGCAUAGCAACGAGAGGGGAGAGUAUUAUCCAUGUACCCUCGUAGACCGUAAGCGGAAGCUUAUGACAACGCGGUUGAUGUAGUCAUACGUCUUCACGAUCCGACCGAUCCAAGUACCGAACGUACGGCACCUCCGAGUUCAGCACACGUUCAGCUCGAUGACGAUCCCCGGACUCCGAUCCAGCAAAGUGUCGGGGAUGAGUUCUGUCAGCACGACGGCGUGGUGACGAUGAUGAUGUUCUAUCGGCGCAGGGCUUCGCCUAAACUCCGCGACGAUAUGACCGAGGUGGAAUAUGAUGGAGGGGGCACCGCACACGGCUAAGGAACGAUCCGUAGAUCAACUUGUGUGUUCUAGGGUGCCCCCCUGCCCCCGUAUAUAAAGGAGCCAAGGGGGAGGGGGCGGCCGGCCAGGAGGGCGCGCCAAGGGGGAGUCCUACUCCCACCGGGAGUAGGACUCCCUUCUUUCCUAGUUGGAGUAGGAGAAGGGGGAAGGAGGAGGAAGAGGGGAAGGGAAGGGGGGCGCCACCCCCCUCUCCUUGUCCUAUUCGGACUAGAGAGGGGAGGGGGCGCAGCCCACCUCUUGCCUCCUCUCCUCUUCUCCCUUAGGGCCCAUGAAGGCCCAAUAACCCCCGGGAGGGUUCCGGUAACCCCCCGGUACUCCGGUAAAAUGCCGAUUUCACCCAGAACACUUCCGAUGUCCAAACAUAGGCUUCCAAUAUAUCAAUCUUUAUGUCUCGACCAUUUCGAGACUCCUCGUCAUGUCCGUGAUCAUAUCCGGGACUCCGAACAAACUUCGGUACAUCAAAACUUAUAAACUCAUAAUAAAACUGUCAUCGUAACGUUAAGCGUGCAGACCCUACGGGUUCGAGAACUAUGUAGACAUGACCUAGAACUAUUCUUGGUCAAUAACCAAUAGCGGGAACUGGAUGCCCAUAUUGGCUCCUACAUAUUCUACGAAGAUCUUUAUCGGUCAAACCGCAUAACAACAUACGUUGUUCCCUUUGUCAUCGGUAUGUUACUUGCCCGAGAUUCGAUCGUCGGUAUCCAAUACCUAGUUUAAUCUCGUUACCGGCAAGUCUCUUUACUCGUUACAUAAUGCAUCAUUCCGUAACUAACUCAUUAGCUACAUUUCUUGCAAGGCUUAUAGUGAUGUGCAUUACCGAGAGGGCCCAGAGAUACCUCUCCGACAAUCGGAGUGACAAAACCUAAUCUCGAAAUAUGCCAACCCAACAUGUACCUUUGGAGACACCUGUAGUACUCCUUUAUAAUCACCUAGUUACGUUGUGACGUUUGGUAGCACCCAAAGUGUUCCUCCGAUAAACGGGAGUUGCAUAAUCUCAUAGUUACACGAACAUGUAUAAGUCAUGAAGAAAGCAAUAGCAAUGUACUAAACGAUCAAGUGCUAAGCUAACUGAAUGGGUCAAGUCAAUCACAUCAUUCUUCUAAUGACGUGAUCCCAUUAAUCAAAUGACAACACAUGUCUAUGGUUAGGAAACAUAACCAUCUUUGAUUAAUGAGCUAGUCAAGUAGAGGCAUACUAGUGACACUAUGUUUGUCUAUGUAUUCACACAUGUAUUAUGUUUCCAGUUAAUACAAUUCUAGCAUGAAUAAUAAACAUUUAUCAUGAAAUAAGGAAAUAAAUAAUAACUUUAUUAUUGCCUCUAGGGCAUAUUUCCUUCAAAUAUUACCAUUCUCCUCCGCAUUAGCUAGAAGAGCCGUCAGCCCCACUGUACAUAGCAAGAAUAAAUAUGGAGAGAGAGGAUCUCCCUGCCUCAAACCUCUAGUAGGUUUAAAACUCUCAGUCUCUUUAGUAUUAAAGUGAACCCGGUACUCCACCGAAGAUACACACUGCAUAAUUAAAUUUACCCAGUUCUCUUGGAAUCCCAAUUUCAACAUAAUUUCCUUCAGAAUAGAACACUCUACCCGGUCGUACGCUUUGUGCAUAUCCAAUUUGAUGGCACACAUACCCUCUUUACCAUUCCUUUUUUUCUUUAUUGUAUGGAAACACUCGUACGCCACUAAAAUGUUAUCUGUAAUCAUUCUUCCGGGUACAAAUGCACUCUGAGUCGUGCUGAUAAUAUCUGGAAGAAUUAUCUUCAAACGAGCCGCAAUCAUUUUUGAAAUAACCUUAUACACCACAUUGCACAAACUGAUUGGUCUAAACUGAUUUAUCUUUUCUGGAGAACUAACCUUUGGGAUCAUUACAAUUGCUGUAUCAUUCCACCCAUCAGGUUUAGUACAAGUAUUCACCGCCUGGAGUACCUCCUCGGUCAGAUCAUCCCCCAACAUAGACCAAAAUCUUUUAUAAGGUUAUUUCAAAAAUAGCGUGUAACCCAUCCGGACCCGGCGCUUUUAAAUCUCCAAUAUCAAAUAGAGCCUUCCAAACCUCCUCAGUUGUAUAAGGGGCUAGGAGAGAAUUAUUCAUUUCUUCUGUCACUUUUCUUCUCACAAGAGAUAGAACCUCCGGGUUCGGUUGAUCAACUUCUGAGGUAAAGAGAUUUGAAAAAUACCCCAUAAUAUGGUUCUUCAUCUCCGUAUCUUGCACCCAAUUACCGUUUUCAUCAAGCAAUUUUUUAAUUUGAUUUCUUUUUUUUCUAGUCAUUGCUGCAUUAUGGAAAAAGGAAGUGUUGCGAUCACCAUAUAACAACCAGUUUGCGCGGCCCCUUUGUAACCAGUAGAUUCUUGCUCUAAGAGAUUUUCAAUAAGGACAAGAAUCUCUUUUUGUCUCGCUUGUGACUCCGCAUUCAUGGGACCUCUUCGUUGUUUUUCUAAUUCUUUUUUUAGUUUAUUAAUUCUUUUUUUCGGUCCUCUAAGAAUAUCACGGUCCCAAGUGUGCAAAUCCGCAUUCACCGCCCGUGUACGCUCGGCAAGAGAAGGCCCAAUACCUCGCAUCUUUGCUUUUUCCCAUGCUGUACGUACAAUUUCUUCAACUGUCUCUUCUUUGAGCCAUCGAGCUUCAAACUGUUUCAGUCGGCUCCUUGGUUGAUUAAACAUACUACCAUCAAAAUAUUCCGUAUCCAGGAUUAGAGGACGAUGAUCAGAAUGUACAUGUUCUUCAUUUAUAACUACGGGCCGAGGAAAUUUGUUCGCCCAUUCCACAUUACAAACCGCACGGUCAAGCCUCUCCCUAAUAUCGCCCCUCCUCCAAGUGAAAAGGUCUCCAAUACAUCCCAUGUCUUCCAAACCGCACUCUCCCAAACAAUUACGAAAUUCUCAUCACUGCAUUAGGUCUCGCAUUGCCUCCCUCUUUUUCCGAAGAAAGUAGAAUUUCAUUGAAGUCUCCCAAAAUCACCCAAGGGUGGUCACCUUUAUUGUGCAAAUUACGGAUAUCAUCCAAAGACAAGUUAGGUUCACACCAAUUCGGAUGACCAUAAAAACCGGUAAAACGCCAUUGUACAAUAUUGUCAUUCAUAAACAAAACAUCAAUAAAAUUGGCCGACUCAUAGUUUAAAACAACUUUAUUCAUCUUGUGAUAAAACAUAACUAGGCCACCGGAGGCCCGCCCAUCGCUCUCCACUACAAACAUCGAAUCAAAAUUUAAAACACGACAUAUCUCAUCGGCUUUACAUUUAUUCAAAUGAGACUCUGAAAGAAAAAUCAAGUCCGCCGUUUAGUUCGCCCUUGUAGAUCCAAGAGCUCGCGAACUGCCAUGGGGGAGAGCAUACCAUGGCAGUUCCACCCUAUGACUUUCAUUUGGCCCGGCGGACCUCCUCCUCGGAGGCCGCCAAUGCGCCAUCAUCUCCAACCGAUUCCCUCCUUUGCUGCACACAUGCCUCUUCUUUUCCCUCUAUCUCCUUUGCUACGUGUGUGGUGACCCCAUCUCCAUCUGUCACUGUUUCCACCCUACUCGUACACACUCGCUUAGAAGAAGCACACCUAGUAGAGUAGUAGGUUAGUUAAUGGUUAGUCCCCAUCACUAAUCAGUUUGCCAAGGAAGCAUCCUUGCAAUCUCACCGCAAACCCUGCCAACCCAAUUAUCGUUCAUCCCCGAACCACCACUUCCCCUUCAUCCCAACGCAAGUCCAUAAUAAUUCCAAGAAGAAAAUAAAUGGGUGAUGUGACUGAUGCGGAAAGGAAAUUCAAAUAUAUAUACGCGCUCAGCAGAGAGCAGUGCACACAAAAUUCAAACAUAUAUUAUUAAACCACUGUCUCCGAUGCAAAAUACUUUGAUCCUUUCUUUCUUUCUUUCAGGGGAACAAAGAAAGAAACAAACAUGGAGCCUCAUUCGACGUCGAACCCCUUCUCCUGGAGCUCCUGCACCACCUCAUUGCGCAUCCGGAGCCACAGCUUGCGCUCCUGGUCAAACUUCUUCGACUGCGGCUGCUUCUGCAUGUUGUCCGAGUCCAUGUUGGCGUCCGCGAACCCCUUGGGCCCGAUCGUCGUGCCCAGGGCGCCCCCGCUCUAUUUGAACUCCUCCACCGCAUCCUCGUCACCCGGGUACACGAACUCCCUACGCUCGUACAGAUGCGUCAGUGGGCCGGAGUGGGCUAACUAAGGAGGCCUCGUCUCGCUACUUAAGCGAGGAAGAAGAGAAGGGCGGACAUCCAGUGGAUCAAGGCAACGGCGGCACGACUCCUUUCUCCUUUCCCCUUCCACCUACUAAGAACCCUAGCCUUCCUGAUUCAUGUACUUCGUCUGUAAUCGCCACUAAACAUUCAUCUAUGAAUGAGACGGGGGCCUUUACUACUACUGCAUUGCUGGCUGGAAACUGCUUACCGACGGCCGGCCGGACGGGGCGAGGAGACGGCGAGGCGCCUCCCUCCAGCGGUGCGAGAGGGAGGAGAGGACGAGAAGUUUCGGGGAAGAAGAAGAGGACAAGGAGAGUAUGAAUAGACGACUAGUUGCUCCCUCUCCUCUCGCUGCCUGCCUGCGAGUUAUUAAUUCUUUCUGACUUUGGUCAAGCCGAGUUAAUUAGUCCUAACGGCGACCGGGACGGCCCAGUCGUGCAGCCGGGCUUUUUGGGCCUUCUCCGGUGACCUUUCGAUGAUGCUAACAAAAGCAAUUGACCAUGUUGCCUAAAAAAAGCAAUUAACCAUGUGAAUGAAAAAUGCCCCUCCAUUCCUAAAUAAGACCUUCUAGAGAUUCUAAUAUGAACUACACGCAGAGCAAAAUGAUUGAAUCUACACUCCAAAAUAUGUCUUUGUACAUCCGUAUGUAGUCUGCAUUGAAAUCUCUAAAAGACUUGUAUUUACAAACGGAGGGGGUACAAAAUUCUACAAAAAGUGGGGGGAAAUCUACUACUACUCUCCGAUCCAAAAUUCAAUGUACUAAAGCAGCGUCAAUUAAUUUGGAUCGGAGAAAGUUUCUACUAUCUCUGAAACCUAGUAUAAUACUUUUUUUUAACACUGAGAUAGUGUCCAAAAUCAUCUUAUAUCAAGUUACGGAGGGAGUAUAUACUACUUAUAAAAGCAUGAGUUUGAUGAAUCCAAAUGAUCUGAGCCAUCCAACCACCUAUAUCCAAUGUCUCAUGCUGCUCUAAUGGUGUAUCCGUCACAUCAUCAAUAAAUUGGAAACAUGUUAACUGCAUAAACCAUAAUUUAGAAAAGGAGCAUUAAUUGCAUCAUUAAACACAAUAAACAUCGGAAUCUUUCCUAUUAAUCUUGAAAAUAAAAUUACUGUCAAACUGGACAUGCACGUACACGGUUACCAGUAAAUAGUAAUUCAAAAUAAGGAAACAAAGAUGGCAAGCAUGCAUGUGCGCUCGACACGCACGAAAUGUGUUUUGUGUGGAAACAAAGAUGCACUAGUAUCAUAUGCAUGAUACUAGUAUGUGAUACUUCUCAUUACAACCAGCCUAAUGGCCACUCCCUGUCAUCACUAAUAAAUCUGCCAACUCAACAGUCCUCGCUUUCUCAGCGGAAAUCCGCCAGCUAAACUAUCUUUGAUCCCCCAACCACUUCCCCAUUGUCAAUUCCGACGUAACUGAAUGAAAAGGAUUGGCGUGGAAGAAAAUAAUGCUCGCGUCGUCGUGCCGUGCUUGGUCCAAAUCUCAUUUGUCAACCGAUAUUCUGCGUGCCACUUGCGGCACUUGCCCUUAAAAAUUUGACGUAUUUUUGUUAUUAUGUUUAGGGUGGUUUGUGUUUCUGGUGAACUUUAUUUCAGAUUAGACGCAUCUAUGACACUUUGAUAAUGUACGAAGUACUUAUAUUUAAAUAUGAAGUGGGACACUAGACAGAUGCAAGCAUUUGUGAGCUCAGCAGACAGUUUAAAGAAAAAAAAAGGAUGAAUGCAUUCAUCUUUAUUAUGCUUCCACUGCGCCUCAUGACAACGACAUUCCACAUAUGCUUAGAGAAUCUCAUAUCUGUUUUAAUCUGAUGGCACGCUGCUGCCUAUGCUUUAAUCACCAGGACCCUGUCCCUAAUACUCCAGCUGUCUUGAUUUAUCGGCAAAGUACAAAUUAAACUAUUAAAUCGGCGUCUCAAUAUAUAUGAUUAAUUGCUUCAUCAUGGAAAACAACUUAUUUAAUUCCAAACAAAGACAGGGGAAAGGAAUACAAGCCUGGAUGCAACCGGAAUUACUUAAUCUCCGCCGAGAAAAAGGGCAUACACUGAACUUGUAGGCAUCUAACUUUAUCCCAGGGAAUGUUUCUUCUACAUUUAUCAAUGCAAAACACUUAAACGAGCCGAUGUCUCCCCGCAUUUCUUUCAUGGGAAUAAAACUGGCCUUCAUUCGACGUCGAAUCCCUUCUCCUGGAGCUCCUGCACCACCUCGUUGCCCAUCCAGAACCACAGCUUGCGCGCCUCCUGGUCGAAUUUCUUCGACUGCAGCUGCUUCUGCAUGUUGUCUGAGUCCAUGUUGGCGUCCGCAAACCCCUUGGGAGAGGAAGGUUUCACCAAUCCCUGUCGAUAAAUCGACAAUUCCCAAUGCAACAUGUUCAUGUGGCACAUUGGACGAGAUUUCAAUAGUAGGAGAAGUGUUAUUUUUAGAAGUUUCUUAUGUCUCAGUAGCACAUAUAUCCGGCUAUUUUGUCAGACACUGACAUAUCGAAAACGACAAUAGGAAGAUGCACGUCGCCCCUGCAAAAGACCAUUGAUGCAAGGAGAAAGAUAUGAACGACGAUGAGGAUGUGUUGAGCAAGGCAAUGAAACAUGUGGAUGUGUGAAAUUUGGAUGGCUCGACGCAGGGGAGUGAUGACCCACAAGUAUAGGCGAUAUCGUAGUCCUUUCGAUAAGUAAGAGUGUCAAAUCCAACAAGAAACGGAAGAAAAUGACAAGCGAUUUACAGCAAGGUGUUGUCUGAAGCACUGAAAUUAUCGGUAACAGAUAGUUUGGUAGCAAGGUAAUUCGUAACAUGAAACAAGUAGCAAAAGUAAUAAUAGGUGCAGCAAGAUAGCCUAAUCCUUCUUAUGGCAAAGGACAGGUCGGAACGUUCUCUUAUAGUAAGCAGAGCGUUCUUGAGGACACAUGGAUCCAAAUCAGCCCCUUACGGACUAGCGCAUAAACUAGGAUUUAAACUUUUGUCACUCUAGCAACCCUUCAUCUAAUUAAUUACUACUCCACAAUGCCUUCCCUUAGGCCCAAAGAUGGUGAAGUGUCAUGUAGUCGACGUUCAUAUGACACCACUAAGAGAAGCAACAACAUACAUAUCAUCAAAAUAUCAAACGAAUACUAAAUUCACAUAAUUACCCACAAACCAUAUUCAUGUUCAAAAUCAGAGAGGUGUUGAAUAGCAUUAAGGAUAUGAACAUAUAAUCUUCCAUCAAAUAUAUCAACUAGUAUCAACUAUAAGAUGUAAUCAACAUUACUAGCAACCCAUAGGUACCAAUCUGAGGUUUUGAGACAAAGAUUGAAUACAAAAGAUGAACUAGGGUUUGAGAUGAGAUGGUGCUGGUGAAGAUGUUGAUGAAGAUUCGUCCUCCCACGAUGAGAGGAUCAUUGGUGACGUUGAUGGCCCCCUCCCGAAGGGAAGUUUCCCCGGCGGAAUCGCUCUACCGGAGAGCAAAAGUGCUCCUGUCCAGAUUCCACCUCGAGACGGCGGCGCUUCGUCCCGGAAUUUCUCUCUUGAUUUUUUUUUCUAGGACAAAUGGCUUCAUAUAGGAGAAGAUGGGCCUCGGAGGCCAGCCAGGGGCCCCACAAGCCACAUGGGUGCGGCCAGGGGGUGGUCGCGCCCAUGUGCCUCGUGGGCACCUGGUGGGUCCCCUCUGGUAUCAAAAUCGUCUUAAUCCGAGGUCAUAUAAGAGGCAUCUGGAAGUUCUAAAGUACUGAAAGACUGUUUCUCUCAAAAACAGAACAUGACGGUAGCUCUCAAAAAUUGUGCAUCUUCCAUCCUUUUUUAGCCGUAAAUACUGAUGCCAUCAGAAUAAGCCAAUCCCUAGCUACCAUCGAGGGGGUGCAGCCGCACUCCAAACCCCAAAACCCACAGAACCCAUCUCUCGACGGGAGCACGCCGUGCUCGGAGGAAAACAGGGAAUUGGCUAAUUCGGACAAUGAUGAUGGGGAUGGGCGUGCUCAGAGGAAAGCAUGGGAUUAGCCGAUUCAGCCGAUGAUGAUGUGGACAGGGAGAAGGAAACAAAAACGAGAAAUCAUGAUCUUCCCCAUUUGUUCUAUUCCCAAUCAACAAAUCUGCCAUGACUUCACAGCUCAUUGUCUUGUCAAUCCCCUUGGGGAGCCAAACAAUUUUGCUUAUGUAUACUAAAAAGAUUUUCCAUUUAAUCUCUAAGGUUUUAUUAGAGCAAACAAAUAUAUUAUGUUGUUUCAUAUUUUCACAUGUGAAUGGAUUCGAUAUGAGUUAUUUGAUCCAACUUUCUAAGAUUUCUUUAAGAAACACCCAUGCAAAUUACCCCCAGCAAUAUAUAGAGGAAAAAUCAGUUUACACUAGAGUUAGCUACCAUCAAUGUAUCGGUGAUAUAUUUUGCCCACCUCUCAGCCUCAGGUGUUCAAGUUACGGACAAAUUGACAGAAUCACAACAAAGUUCGACGUACAAGUAAACUUGUAAUAGAAACAAUUCAGUACUCAAAAUAUUUGUUAUUGAUAAGCAAAGCCUCAUACAAAAUUGACCACUUGAUCCUAUACAAAUUUCAUACAUGCAUUGACAAAUUGUAACUCGCGGCAUCUAAUUAAAGCGCGGCAAUCACAUUGAAUUUCAAACAUCCUACGAAAGCAAAUCGAUCUUUGAUUUACCGACAUUCUACAAACAAAAAAUAAAUAAAUUGUCGAUAUCCUAUAAGUAGAUUUUCGUUUGACCUUUAGGGUUUUACUAGAGCAAACAAAAAUAUUAAAGUUUGGAAUGUUCACAUGUGAAUGGGAUUCAAGACAUUUAUUUGCUCCAACUUUCAAAGAUUACUUAUUGGCCAUAGCAGAAAAACAUUAACAUACUAUAAAUUGAAUACCCCCAAUGUGACACUGAAAUAUUGGCCCACCUCUUAGCCUCAGAUGUUGUUCAAAUUAAGUGCAACAAACAAGUGAACUUGUAACUGGAAAAAAUCAGUGCUCAAAAUGUUUGUCAGUAAAGAAAACCUCGUACAAAAUUCAGCACUUGAUCCUUCACAGAUUUCAUACACGCGUCCACAAAUUGUAACUGGCAGCAUCAAAAAGUGUGGCAAUCACAUUGAAUUUUCAAACAUCCUACAAAAGCAAAUGGAUCUUCGAUUUACCGACAUUCUACAAACGAAAAAAAUAAAGAAAGAAAUACUAUAGUUAAUAUCCCCAGGGUCCUCAACUUGUAUCGCACAAACAGAACGUUCUCAAGUCCUUGUGGGUUUUGGUUGUGGUAUCGUGCUGCACUGCACUGCACUGCACUGCUGUAGUUAUCGCCUACCACACCGACACAAAGGAAUAACGCUAGUUUACAACACCAAUAUGUACCAACCGUGAAUCACUUCAUCAUGGCAUGUACAACCUAUAAAUAGGUAAAUGAAACAUUAGAAAAAGUAUUCACUAUGCACGAGAAGAAAGAACAUGCACUAGACUGAAGAAUGCAAGCAUUCGACACAAAAAUAUGACCUGCUGAAUUUGUGUAUGCAUCAUGCACCAACAAAAUAAAAAAUGUUCCUACAAUAAAAGUAAUAGAGCAGAUUCAACAAAAUAAAAACGUUCCAUACUUGGUUAAUUUUGUGUACAAUGGAAGUAUAUAGGGAGUUAGACAGUAGAGGAAAGAAAUGACUGCUUAUAAUAUAUAACAACAAUAAAAAUGCGAGGUUGUCAUAUACUCACACCUUGUAUAUAUCAUACUGCCGAGAGACUGCCGAUCUUUCCCAUCUCAUAGGUAUCAGCGUAGUAGUACAGCUUGAUCUUAUUUGACAAAGACAAUCCAGAAGCCAGAGGAAGAUUCCGCAAGCUUAAGCCAUCAAUCUCAGCAAUAUCAUCAACAAAGGCAGUGACAUCUCCAAGUAAUCUAAAGAUAACACAACGGGCAUCUUGCUGCAAAUCCGAAAAAUCAAAAUACAGUGGUGUAUUUGCUUUAACUUCCGGCAGACGGUAUUCCUCUACAACCAGCUUGCCAGACUCCUGCAGAAAAAACAUAAGUAUUGAAUGCACACAACAUACAAAAUUGGCAAAGAGAAAACUAUAUAUCUUAUCUAGAGAGUUCAGCCACAGGCUUCUCAAACCCUCAAGGAACAAUUUCAUGCCGCAAAAACUGCUUACUUUUAGGAACAAACUUGAAAAGAGCAGCAGCACAUAGACGAAUGGACAACUACGAUAUUAUGUUUCCCAGUCAAACCAAAAUAUAUCUAUAUCUACACCUCUAUAUAGCAUACGAAAAACUUUGUAUAUCGGCAGUUGGAUGAAGCCGAUCCGAUGGUACAGAGGUGGCAAACCCGACUUGUGCAGGCCAUUGGAUUUUCUCUUCACUACAUCCGAUUCUACCAUGUGUAGUGUCCAUAAGGUUCUAUGAUUGGGCUUAGAUGUUAUGCACAAACCUCAGAGAACACACUUCUACAUUGUUCUAGACUCCCAGCUUUUUUCGAACAGAAUUUUUACUUUGUGUUCAAGGCUAUGGAUGUACCUUCAUAAACCUCAUUUACUUUGCAGAUGCAGCACUAGAUGUUCUCAUUAUUUUCUAAUAAAAAUUGCAGUACAAGAGACACCUCCUGGGUAAUGUGCUUGAUGUAUUUUACCUGAGUUUUGUGUUUUGAUUGAGUGGACUGGGAGAAUUAAACCUGCAUCUUAUACUUCAUGCAUGUGCCUCAAAAUUUUCAAUCUUUGGUCAUACUUUGAUUAUCUGAGCUCUCACGUGCAAUGCCCAUAUAACUUACUAUUAUGAUAUUAUGUUCAAUCAGGGUAUAGCUAUAUCAGGGUUCCAAGAAACAUGAGGUUAUUGGCUGAGAAACUGGAACUGGCCAAGCUCCAGUUGCUAGUGUUACCCUUCUUUGGAUUGCAGGAAUGAAAAACGCAGGACGGCAGGAGUUUGGGGCAGGAAUCCAAGUGCAAAGGAUUGCAAAACACGGGAAAAUUAGAUGAUAGUCGCUUGGACAGAACACAGGUAAAUGACCUCGAUCCUAGGCAACCUAGUGUGUAUAAAAGAGGUUGGAGUGGUAUUAAAGUUCCCGUGCAAUUAAGGCAUGGGAAACAAAUCCAUUGGAAUUUGGUAGCAUCAUUACAUUGAUCCCAAAGACAUUUGUAUGAAAGACUCCUAUGAAUUGCAGUGCUAUGAAAAUUCUACAAUCCAAAAUGGCCCUACUUAAAUCUCAAAUUCAAUUUUUAACAACAUCAAAAUUUGACUUCCUUAACCUUUUCACCCCAAAAAAAGUUUCCAAGAACGAUGAGAAUGCUGUAAAGACAGAAUAGGAAGUGAUAAAUUACACAAGCAUGAAAGUUCCCAUGGUUCAAAAACAAAAAUAUAAAGAGAGCAAAAGAACCAGAUAAGUGUCAAUUUUAGUCGCUAAAUCAAGUGAGCUUGACCACAUAGCCAGUGCCUUAUUACCUUAACAACUGUAACUUGUAUAUGAAGAAUUGCAGGAUUUAAGUGUCUAUCUUCCAUACGUAUCAAUGAACACUCCUUCAUAUCUAACUCUGAUGGCAGAGGUGAAUGGGUUACACGAGGUCUUAUAACACCAAAGGAAUCAAGGCGAAAUCCAGCUAUUCCAGGCGAAUUAGGCAAGAGAUAUUGCUCAAGAACAAGAUCGUGGUCUCUCAACCUCUCAGCCUCAACCGGAAUCUGAAAAAUAGGAGGGGAAAAUCUUAGCCAUAGUUCGAAAUAGAGCUGAAAAGUGCUCAGUAAAAAGACAGGGUUUACCCUAAAUCUGCCAAACGAUGGUGAUCCAUCUACGUAACUUCUCAUCCUCAUUAUUGCCACAGAUGUGUCAGGACCCAUUUCCUUGGGCAAAGAGCUACCGAAAACAACAAUCCUUUUUGCAUGGAUAAAUGAGUUAUGUGAAUUGUUUGCCUUAGAAUCAAUAAAUGAGCUUUCAUCCAAUGAUAAAAGAUCACUAAAGUCUUCAUUAAACUUGGUUGAGCUAGAACCAAUUUGGGGAAGUGUCAUUUUUAUUGAAAUUAUGCGACAACGGAUAGGAUUUGGGAAGUGUAGUUUAAAGUGUCUUGGUGCCUCAUCCAAGCUACCCGAAUUUUCUGGUCCAUAAAGCUGUGGAGAUGACACUAUCAUACUUUGCACGUCCCACUUUCCUACGAAUGUCCGGUCGUCUCGCUGUAUUUUAUUACUAGCCCAUAUCUCCACCUGCACAGGCAGCACAAAUAUCAGCAUAUGAGGUCAAUAUUGCGCUAUAUGAAACAAGGGAAAUGAAAUUAGCCAGUUGGUUAGUUCAAAUACUCUUGUUUACAUAGGUAGCUAACUCUGCCACAUAUGAAAAAGAUGUCUACAGCACUAGGGCACUUUGUUAAUUUCAGACCAGGAUAUCGUCAACAAACUAGAUAAUUUGCAUCAGUGUUAAUUCUACAAAAAAACAUGUCAUUGUCAUAAAAUUAUGGUGGUGUCCACACAGCCACGAAAACAAAUUUGCAGAGAUCGCGACUGUUGUUACAAAGAACUGAUAGUAAGAGCAUAAGAGCAAAUUAUGGUGCUGUCAAACGUUGAAGUGCUUAAAGAGCAAUUAUGAAGUACGCACGGAACAAACUCAACAACCAAAAUACCAAGCUACAAAGAACUGACAGUAAAAUUAGCAAUUUACUGCAAAUGAAGAGUUUUUAUACUUUGUUUAGAAGUAUAGAAGCAAGAAACAAGAAGCAAUAAUCAGUUCAAUAACAGCUCUCUACUAUCAAGGCACACAGGUAUGUCAAAGGGUCAAGUGAUGCAGACAUCUCCAAGCUUAAAUGAUGUAAAGUACUUCAAGUACAUCCCAUAAAAAAUCAACUAUUAGUUGCAAUGCCCAAACUGAGCACUUCAGCUACGAAAAUAGAAUUUGUGCAUCCACUCUGCAACAUUGGGAUUCUUUUUCCAAUUUGCGUGUUUCUCCUUUGCCUAUUUCUUGGAUUCAUAGUGCAUGAAAUAACUAAGCUAAGCGUGAAGUAUCUUAAGGCAACUGAUAUAUAUGUUUUGGUAUAAUGAAAUUCAGGAGAGGAAGAGAAUACUAUUGCAUUAUUUCUCUUCCAUCAACAUGGAGCUCGCUCAAGAAUAAAGCUGGAAAAUGUUUUCCUUCUCUUGCUCUGAAAGGUAAUGCAUUUGAUUAAGCUAUAUAGGACUUCUUCACUGAAGACAACAAUGAUUUCACUGACUUCGUUUUAAAUGCCCUUUUUGUUAAAUUUACCAAGAAAAUUGUAUAUCUAGGAGUUCCCAUUUAUAACAAUCUCGCUAACAUAAUUUUUUAUACUAAUGUAGACAAACCAUGGAUCCCAGAAAAAAGAACCAAGAUCGGAAGUACAUCUUACAAUUGGGCAAUCAGAUGUUGAGUAACCACAGGAACUGACAAUUAUUGCAACUCCUGAAACAUCUGAUAUACCGCCAAGAACAAUCGGGAACUCCACAGAUGUGUUGCCUUGUGGAGCUUUCCAGUAGGACUUGUGCACUCCACUACCAAGUGGUGCCAGCAAUGAAAACAGUGGAGCAGAGUCAUCAGCAGUUUCUACCUGGAAAAAUAAAACAACGCGGCAGAAUCAAAGCAAUACCCUGUGGCAAAGCAAUACAGAGCAGGGACAAUACGAUACAGCUUCUGACAAAAAGAAAAGAUUUAUUUUGAAAAGAUAAUGUUAGGCUCAAGGGUAGUGCAUUUGAGUGUCUAGUAUCUUUCCACGGUCCAUGUGCAACAGUAUUGCAGAUGCAGCAGAGUCAUAUAGAUACAAAGUGGCAGCACCAGAGCAGACAGUAAAGGGUAGAAGUUAAUAGAUCAAUGUCGAGGAAUACCGUAUGUAAAAAGCUUGCAUGUGGAAAUUCUGCAAGAGAUUCUUCAUCAUCAAGGAGCUGCUUCAAUUGUCUCAGACCAGAUUGAACACUAUGUACUGAAUCCGAUAUUCUAUUGGGCUCAAGUUGGCAGACCUGAUUCACUGCUUUCAGUGCUGCUUUCUCCGCACGACCUUUUCUUCUCAUACUAUGAAGAACCCUGACAUAAUCGACAUACAGUGCUUGUUUGAUCAUCUCAUUGCAGCAUGAUUUGCACACAGAACUAUCUGCGAGGGCUGAAUAGCCACCACCUUGAUUCCCACCAUAUAUCUUCAGAUCUCUGUAAGUGUUGCCAAGCAAAAGGAAGGCCCCUUUCCCAGCACAGCAAGCCUUGCAAGCUGUCCUUUCGCACUGGGAACACUCCACGAAUAGUGAUGUAUUUCCACUAGUAGCUGAAGCUUGUAACGAAGAUACAACACGGACUUCACAUGCCCCACCAGAGCAUGAUUCACCAUUUUCACUGAUAUUCCAAAAGUCUACAGCAUGGCUAUUGACCUUUUCGAGCCCUAUUGAAGCAUUAGCACGAUCCUCGAAGACAGAAUGCCCCAGCAAUGCUAGCUUGUCAGUAAGGCUGGAUAACUUCAACAGGUAAGAGUAAUCAACUGAACGAUUUGGAUCUACCGUGGCAGGAAUUACACCAAUCGAUAACAAUGCCCGGUCCCUUUCGGCAGCAGAAAGAUCAAGAUAAAGACGUUUUAUUUCAAGCUUCAUCCUUUGUUCAAAGUUAAGGCUCUUUCCCUGAAAAGAUGAAUAAGAGUUACAUCUCUAAGAUCCUCAUUUAAACUUAUAUAAACAAAUCUGUUAAUAAAAUAGUUUUUGUUCUUGUUUAGAAAUAGGUAAUCAUUAAUGAGAACAGGAUGAGUAUAUAAAGCAUGGCAACUAAGCAGUGCCAGGUCCAAUAUAUAAUGUACAUAUAAUGAGCUCAUAAUCAUAAGUUGGCAGGGUCUUUUCUCAGUUUCAGUCAAGUCAUUUCUAGAUGCUAUAACCUUCUAAAUAAACCACCAUUGGAUGAGAGUACCAAUUUCAGAUAUUACUUGUAAAUAAAAUUAGCUCAACACCAGUUUAAGGAAAAUCUAUCAAUGAACGAGAGGAUAGGAAAAGAACAACAAAAAUACCUUAUUAUUUUGAGAAAGUGACUCCAAAAACUCGAGAUAAAACUGUGUACUGCCACAAUCUUCAACAUGGUUAUUGACUUCAGCAACAGGCUCUUCUGAUGCAGUGGCAAAAGGGUUGACGUCAAAUUCAUCAUCAAAGAAGUUCGUCUGAUCCUCAUUACCAAAAGAUGUAUUUCCAGUGUUUUUUGAUUGGUUCGGUACGUCGAUAUCACCCGUGAGAAAAUCCACAAAAUUUCCUGAACCACCAGGUUGAACUGAUGAUGAACUUCUAGUAUAACUCCUCUCACUACCGUGAACAGCAUUACCAGGAGAGGAAGAAUCUGCAAUAUUUUUCAAAGCUAGAUCGCGGGGAGUAUAUGCUUUUUCAUGGAGGAGCUCCAAAACUUGAGCAACACCUUUGCUAUUGGUUAACAUAUCCACCCAUGGAAGAGAAACACCAAGUACUUCAAUCUGUUUCAGAAGAUUACUCAUCUAAUAAAAUAAAUAUACAGAGGCGAAAUAGUUCAAUUGUUAAGAGCUGCUUCUUAAUACAUCAACAUCCAGAUGGUUGUCAACUUUUACCUCACCAAGUGUGAUGGCUGUUCUCGCCAUGGGAGAAGGAUGAAAAGAUAAUGUGACAACCCGAUUUAGAAAGUUCACUUCUCCUUCCAGCUCUUCGAAGUCGUAUAACAACGGAAGAUAAGUGCUCUCUUGAACGUCCGGUCGAGCACUAUUGCCUGUAACAGCCAAGUCCUCUGGAUGAAUUCUUCCAGUGAGAGGGAUCAACAAAUUUGUCCCAUUCGAGCACUGGGGUAUGCAAGCGCCCUAAACAAGUGAACUUGCAGUUAGUUACACAUUAGCUGGCUACACAUGAUUUGCAGAAAGAUAAGCAGUAGCAGGGAACAAAUGU